CAAGGCAAAGGUCUUGGAAACCAAUAUUUUCAAGAUCUAGUGUCAAGGUCAUUUUUUCAAAUAUCUAGUAAAGACAAAUCCCGUUUCGUGAUGCAUGAUCUUAUGAAUGAUUUAGCUCAAUCAGUUGCAGGAGAAUUAUGCUGCAGAGUGGAGGGUGAAAAGCAACAAAAGUUUUUGCAUCGUUCUCGCCACUCAGCUUAUGUUAUCGAUGAUCGGUAUCAGAGUGUAAAGAUGUUUGAGGAAUUUUAUCAAAUGACUUCUUUACGUACUUUCUUACACUUAAUGGCUCCAAGAAAUAAGGUAUUCUAUUUAUCUAACGCUGUCUUGGAUGAUUUAUUGCCAAGACUUAGCUACUUAAGGGUUCUUUCUUUGGGUGGGUAUGAGAUCUAUGAUUUGCCCGACUUUUUUGAAAAUUUAAAACAUCUACGCUACUUAAAUUUUUCUAGAACCCGAAUCAAUCGUUUACCUGAUUCUUUGUGUACUCUUUAUCAUUUGGAGACUUUAAUCUUAAGAGAUUGUUCAAAGCUCAAAAAUUUACCCUCGAAGAUCGGAAACCUUGUCAACUUGCAUUUUCUUGAUAUUAGAGGUGCGGAUUCAAUAGAAAGGAUGCCCUCUGGAUUUGAUCAGCUAACUCAGCUUCAAACGUUAUCUAAUUUUGUUAUAGGGGAAGGUGAUGGACGUCUUAUAAGAGAAUUGAAAAAUUUGUCAAACCUUAGAGGUAAUUUUUGUCUUUCUGGAUUGGAGAAUGUUAAUGGUCAAGAUGCGAGGGAAGCUAAGUUAAAUGAGAAGCUAGGGAUUGAUGGGUUAGAACUGCAAUGGGGUACAGACUUAGAGGAAACAGAAGUUGAGCGGGUGUUGGACUUUCUUCAUCCUCCGAAAAAGCUUGAGCAACUCAUCAUUGAGAAUUACGGGGGUGUAAAAUUCUCAUCUUGGAUAGCAGAUUCUUCCCUCAAGAAUUUGUCGUCUUUGAAGCUUCGCGAUUGUAAAAACUGCAAGUCACUACCAUCAGUUGGAAGGUUGCCAUUGUUAAAAGAUCUUUCAAUUAUUGGUUUCGAUCAAGUACAGAAGAUUGGUGUUGAGCUAUUCGGAGAAAAUCAAUUGAAUCCAUUUGCAUCAUUAGAGAUUCUGUCUUUUGAGAGUCUUCCAAACUGGAAGGAGUGGGACACUUGUGAAGGAGACGAUAAGGUUUUAAAUCUCCCCAGCCUUCGUGUGCUUUCAAUCAAAACCUGUCCUAAAUUGUUGGGAAGGUUGCCUACCCAUCUUCCUUCCUUGCAAAAACUUGAAAUUCAUACGUGUACGAGUUUGGUAGUUUCAUUAUCAAGUUUCCUGUCACUGUGUGAAUUAAGUAUACGAGGGUGUGCAGAACUGGUGGAUGAUUGCUCUUCUCCUGCAAAGGAGCUUUCCUCUUUGCAAACUUUGUCUCUUUCUAACAUUUCAAAGUUUAAUAUUCCAGCAGAUAGGACAAUGUUGAGGUUUGGAAACUCAGAACGUUUUGAAAUUGAUGGUUGGGAGGAGUUGGCAUCUGUAUCACGGUAUGGGUUUAGUUUAGUUGGACAUCGUUUCAUUUCCGUUUCGCGUUGUCCUCAACUGCAGUCUUUGGAAGCAGAGGAAGCCGAAUUGCAACCUGACAAGAUGUCACGUGUUGAAUCUCUAGAGAUAGCCUCUUGUGAUAGGCUCAAUAGACUGCCACAAGUCUUACAUGCACUCACAUUCCUUACAAUGAUGGAAAUUCAGGGUUGUCGAGGCUUGGUUUCUUUUGCAGAGAAUAACUUACCUCCUAAUUAAAAAAAGCUGAGAAUUAGCAACUGUGAGAAUUUGGAGUAUUUGGUUGAUGAAAAAGAAGAUAAUAAGAGUAUGAGUAGUACCCUCUGUCUUCUUGAGGAGUUGUCUAUCUAUAAGUGUCCGUCUCUAAUGUCUUUGUCAUCGAAGGGGCACAAAAAUAUUUGCAAUCAGCUUCAACUUCUCAAUAUUCGCCAUUGCUCAAAGUUGAGUUGCCUAUUUUCAAACACCAAGUUUCCCAUAACGCUUAAAGAUUUGAGAAUUGUGGGAUGUCCAGAGUUGGAAUACAUAGCCGAGGAGUUUGAGGAAAGCGCUUGUCUUGAAUUUAUGAAAAUUAUAGUUUCUGGAAUAAAAUCUCUACCACGAGGACUAAACAAGCUCAAACAUCUCCAGGAGAUUUGUUUGGAUUCGUGUUCAAAUUUGGUUUCUUUUGAAGAAAGUGGGUUGAGCACCAGCUUCAGAGCUUUCCAAGUUACUGGUUGUGUAAAUUUUGGAGCCCUUCCUAACUGCAUUGCUAGCAGCACCUCCCUUCGACGAUUAAGUGUGAGCAACUAUUCGGCUGGCAUAUCAUUUCCAUCGGAGGGAUUCCCUGCCAAUCUCACAUCACUUGAAAUCUCAAAAGCACCCAAGAUUUAUAGGUCACUUGUGGAAUGGGGAUUAAAUAGACUCACCUCUCUUCAAACAUUGGCCAUCGGAGGUGGAGGAUGCUCAAACGUGGUGUCGUUCCCAGAAGAAGGCACUGGAAUGAAGCUGCCUCCUUCUCUCACCUGUAUCUAUCUUUUCCAAUUUGAGAACCUGGAAUUCAUGUUCUCCGAGGGCUUUCAAGACCUCGCCUCUCUUAAAGUAUUGGAGAUCUUUCAGUGUCCCAAGCUAACAUCUCUUCCGGAAAAAGACAUGCUUCGUUCGCUUGGAUUUUUAAGUAUUUUCGGUUGUCCGUUGCUGCAAGAAGAGUGCUCAAGCUAUAAAGGACGAGAGUGGUCUAAGAUUUCCCAUAUAUCCCUAGUUCAAAUCGAUCUUAAAGCAGUCAUCCCGAGGGAAUCAGAUUGAAGGAUGAGCCGCAAAAUCUGUGAUUGGUUUUUUCAGAGUGAUGGGAGAGGUACAAAAAACCAUUUCAAACAAGUCUAACUUUCCUUAGGAACAAGAUAAGAAUAGGAAUCAAUAUAAAUUUAUUGAUUGAUAUUUGCAGGGAUUGAAAGCUAAGUUGGGGUGGAAUAGUGUUUCAGUGGUUUCAUAUGUUUGUAAACUUGUUUCUUGGCUUUGGGGUUUAAUGUUGGAGUAGCAUUAGUUCAUCGGUGUUUCUAGAAUGUGAGCUUUGUCUAUUGUUUAUUUUAUAGGAUAUAAUAGGGAAGAAUAAGAUGAACAAUUUUACAUUAAACUUCAAUCUUAUAACAUUUUCCUUCUUUUCAAUAUAUCUUUACUUAUCUUCUAUUUUGGAAAUUUUGACAAAAAGUCAGAAAGAAAAUUAGGGAGUUCGGCCACAAUUUUUCAAAUUUAUGGAAAUAUGUUAGAUUUUAGAGAUAGAAAUUGAAAAAGCACUUUCUACAAAAUUCAUUUUCUUUUUACAAAUUAGUAUUUUUUAUAAUAUAUUUAUUAAUUAAAAAAUUUUAAACAACAUGAAAUAAAAAAAAUAUAAAUAUAAGUAGGAGAGAAAUUGAACAUUUGACCAUUUGACUAAAAAAAACUAAUAUGCCGAAAGAAUACACAUUUUGUUACAAAAUGUUUUUCUUAAGAUGCAUUUUCUGUUUCUUUUUCCAAAAUAUAUCAAUUUCUCCAAAUUUAGGAAAUAUCGACCUAAUUCCCUAACUUCUUUUUUUUAUUUCAACAUUUUUAUCCAAUUUUCUCCUAUUUUUCUAUUUCACUUUCUUGUUUUUUUCUUUCCUAUUUCAAUUUUGUUUCUUUCUUUUCUUCCUAUUCUUUUCCUCUCUUUCCCAACCUUAGCCGUCGCUAGCAUGCACUACAGCCGCACUACGACAUUUGUUCUUCUGUACAAAUAAUGGCAUUGAUCAACUCUUUUCCUCAUUCUCUUUCAUUUCCAAAUAAUGGCUUUGGGGUUCUCCUCCGUCGAUCACCUAGCUCUUUUGUCAUCACUGCUUGUUCGAUGUUGUCACUAAUCAGAGAAGCCACCAAAUGGUCCACAUUUCCUUUCUCUCUCCCGCUUCUUUUCUACUUUUUUAUUUUUAUUUUUUAAGCCGUGGACCGCGUUUCACUAUCAUUGCUCUCCGUUGUCGAAUCGAGCCACCACUAUAAAUGGCCUUGCUUCUAGUCAACAUGCACUGCUGCUCAGCCUUUUGUUUCUUACCCUUUUUUUUACUGUCGCCUCUCCUGUCUAACUGAUAACUUUAGCACUUCCAGAUUGGUAAUUCAUGCAAAAUUUAAGUGUUUGAUAAUAAAUUUUGAGAUUUUUAUCACAACUUUGUCUUGUUGAAUGAUACUAAGAUAAAUUUGAUCAUUUGAUCAUUUUAUAUACUAAAACACAUGAUUGAAAUUUUUGAGACAGUUGAUGUACUAGAAGAAAAGCCAGUCAUGAAGCUCACCCUUUUGGUCCUCAAUGCUGUAGCAUUUCUACUACAUAAGCCAUGUAAUAGACUGCCACAAGUCUUACAUGAGCUCAUAUUUCUUACAGUGAUAGAAAUUGGUAAUUGUCGAGGCUUGGUUUCUUUUGCAGAGAAUAACUUACCUCCUAAUUUAAAAAAGCUGAGAAUUAGAAAAUGUGAGAAUUUGGAGUAUUUGGUUGAUGAAAAAGAAGAUAAUAAGAGUACGAGUAGUACCCUCUGUCUUCUUGAGGAGUUGUCUAUCUAUAAGUGUCCGUCUCUAAUGUCUUUGUCAUCGAAGGGGCACAAAAAUAUUUGCAAUCAGCUUCAACUUCUCCAAAUUACCGAAUGCUCAAAGCUCAGUUACCUAUUUUGAAACACCAAGUUUUCCCAUAACACUUAAACAUUUGAUAAUUGGGGAAUGUCCAGAGUUGGAAUACAUAGCCCAAGAGUUUGAGGAAACCGCUUGUCUUGAAUCUAUUCUACUUUUCAGAUCUGGAAUUAAAUCUCUACCACGAGGACUAGGCAAGCUCAAACAUCUCCAGGAGAUUUGGUUGCUUUCGUGUUCAAAUUUUGUUUCUUUUGAAGAAAGUGGGUUGCUCACCACCAGCUUCAGAGCUUUUGUAGUUGAUAAUUGUGGAACUUUUGGAGCCCUUCCUAAGUGCAUGGCCAGCACCACCUCCCUUCAACGAUUAAGUGUGCGCAACUGUUCGGCUGACAUAUCAUUUCCAUCAGAGGGAUUCCCUGCCAAUCUCACAUCACUUACAAUCUCAAAGGCACCUAAGAUUUAUAGGUCACUUGUGGAAUGGGAAUUAAAUAGACUCACCUCUCUUCAAGAAUUGGUCAUCAGAGGUGUAGGAUGCUCAAACGUGGUGUCGUUCCCAGAAAAAGGGACUGGAAUGAUGCUACCUCCUCUCACCCAUAUCAUCCUUUUAGAAUUUGAGAAUCUGGAGUACAUGUUAUCCAAGGGCUUUCAAGACCUCGCCUCUCUUAAAGAAUUGGACAUCGGUGAAUGUCCCAAGCUAACAUCUCUUCCGGAUAAAGACGUGCUUCUCUCGCUUGGAUAUUUACAUAUUUACAGUUGUCCGUUGCUGAAAGAAGAGUGCUUCAGUGAUAAAGGGCGAGAGUGGUCUAAGAUUUCCCUCAUAUCCCUUGUUGAAAUUGAUGGUAAAAUAGUCAUCCCGAGGGAAUCAAACUGAAAGGGCGAUCAUAUAGCACACAAAGAAUCCUUUUCACCAACGUUAGUUUAUGGAACACGACAAGCAAUUGAUUGGGGGAUUUGUUCAAAAUCGUUCUAGAUCCAAUCAUAGAAACAAAAAGGAUGAUACAAACCAUUCGACUGGUAAAAUCGAACGAGAUCCGAAAAUUAUGAGCUCACAUGAUCUGGUAAGCGCUUGAGGUCCAUCUCGACUUGGUGAAUAGUCCAUUGCAUAUUUUCUAGUUUCUGUUAUGUAAACCGGCGGCGUUAAUGUUUUGUUCAAAAGGAAACUUGAGUGAAACACCAGUUAAUUUUGAAGCUGAUGUUACCUUAACAACAUCAUGGUACUGCCUUGCAAUUGUAUCGAAGUGAGGAUCGACACCUUGAUACUCACGUAGGCGUGUUACCUGUUUAAAAGGGUUGUAACACGAAUUGAUAUCAAGACAGACAAGAAAGAAGAAAAACCCGAAUCAGAAACAACCCUGAGUUACGAAAAUAUGCAUAAUUUUGAAUGAAAAACCAAGUAUAUUCUAAUCAAACAUUAGGCUACCAAACCAGGUAAAGAAGAUUUAACAUACAGCUUUAUUAUAUGCAGCAGAGGCUUCUUCAAAUCUUACAUAUUGAUGUUGAUGUUGCAACUUCAAAUCUUUGACGAGCUUAAUGAGCACUCCAAGUAUUUGCUCUAGGACCUGUUAAGAGAGAUUGUUUUACAUCACGUGUCGUGAAAAAUAUAGAGCAAACCCGUUCUCAAAACACUAUGUGAUCCAUGAAAAACUCCUGUUAAGAGAACUCAGUCUCAUAUGGAUUUCUAUUAACCUACAUUAUAAUAUUCUGCAAAUUUCCUAUCUGCGGAAUAAAGAUCCUUCCGCAAAUUUGCUUCUUCCCUCUCAAUCUCCUCUAUUAUCAACUUAACCCUGGUAAAAGAAAUAUCACAAACAGGUAAUCAACAUCCAGCAUAUAAGCCAACCCCAUCAAAAAGGUGGAGAAAGUAACUAAUACCUUUCUGGAAGCCGAGAGCUUGAACUUUGACUUCCAGAAGAUGAGUCUGCAGCACAAAAAGAAUAGUACCCAUAAGGGACCACAAUUCCAAGAAGCAAAUAUGCUUCAUAUAUUUGCUCUCACAUUCUAAUUUCGUCAUGUAAUCUACGCCUUUUGCAAUAAAAUGAUGGGCAACAAGAUCUAUGGAUUGAUAUCACAAACCAAUGAGGAAUUUUGGGACAGAACAUUAUGAAGGAUGCAUUGUUUCCGACAACAUGUUAAAACAAUGGGGAUAUAUAAACUAUUAGGCAUGUUGAGAAGUGAAAAAGGAUAAAGAUAUAUGAACGUACCGAUAUCAUCAACAAAGGCAUCAGCUAACUUGUUACACUUAGAUUUCAACCGAGCAUCAAUCUCCCUUGAAAGAGUUAACUGAUAGUCAGCCAUAUCCUAAAUUUGCAAAUUAACAAAAAUUAUAGAAAUGUGUCAUGAUCUUGUAAGAAAGUUUAUGACAACUAAAACAAGGGCCUCUUUUGUAAUUAAAGAUCUUAAAACUUCCAUCUGCAAUCAUGAAACAAAGUUUUCAUACCAUUGACAAUGGUACUCGUUGAAGCUGAGUUUGCCACAAAUAAGCAGGUGUUAUUCCAAGAAAACGAUUAGGCACACCACCAACACCAGGUUCUCCUGAAUCAACAGUAUUAUUUGCAGCUGCACCACUGGUUGCGGCACUAUUUGCAUAAUUCAAUGAGUUUGAACUUGAGCUGAUAGUGAGACUGGUACUAGUACUAUCAAGCGAACUCCGUGAUAUAAUACUCCAUUUCUCAAUUUCUUCCUCAUGAAUUUCCCCAUCUUUAGAUAUUAGUGGAAGUCUCAAUCUUUGAGCCGCUUCUGCAACAACUAAUCGAUGCUCUAGAGAGUCUCAUAAACCUAAAGUUCAUAACACUGAGUAGAACCCUUGUCAGAUUCCCAACUAUAAAGACUGUUUUCUUAUCACUUUUGCUGCUUAUUUUUCAUAAAACUCUUUUUCUUUACUUCGUCUUAACAAUUGUAUAAAGAAGUUGCAAACUCUGUUAUUCCUUACUCAAGUGUGAGGGUUGGAAACAGGUAAUAAUUGCACUUUCCUUAUAAAAUAAAAAUUAAAAUUGAAAAUCAUACCUUUUUAACCAUUUUAGGUUUGUAAUAUCUAACCUUUCAAGAAAAUAUUAAUUGCACUUUCUUUUUUGUUCCAAAAGAAAUUCAUAUAUCUAAUGUCCAAAAAGUUUCUCCUUUAACCGCAAACAUUCAAAAAGAAAAUUUAGAAAAUAAAAAUUAAUGAAAUUAAUAUGAAACCUGAGGAGAAUUCUUCAAUCCAAGCUGCGGAUAAAAACCUUGAAUAUCUCGAAUCCCUCCAAGAUUCGCCACGGAAAUUGCUUGCUGAUACUCUUCCACCAUAGCCAUUGCUUUUGUAGUGACCUAAAAUUUGAGCGAAUACCUUUGCCAUUGUUUUAAUUCUUAACAAAUACGAAUUCAAUUUAAUAUUUACUCGUGAUCCGAUUGAAACAUGAGAAAUUUUUUUAAAAACACGAGAAUUUUGAAGCACGAAUUUUUUUAAAAACGAAAGUUUUUAAAACACGAUAAUUUUUUAAAAUACGAAAAUUUUAGAAAUACGAAAAUUUUUGAAACACGACAAUUUUUCAAAAGAUAAUUUUUUUUUAAAAUACGAAAAUUUGUGAAACACGAGAAUUGUUGAAAACACAAAAAUUUUUAAAAACACGACAAUUUUGAAAACAUGAAAAUUUUUGAAACACGGAAAUCUUUAGAAACAAGAAAUUUUUUUAAAACACGACAAUUUUUGGAACACGAGAUUUUUUUUUGAAUAUUUACAAUUUUUAAAAGGGCGUAUCGUGUUUAACAUAAACCGGUGAUGUCCACCCAACAUAGCGAUGAAUUUAACGAUUUAAUGUUAAAUCAAUUCGUUACCUUAUUUAUUAAAAUUAUUUAAAAUAAAAUUACAUUAAAUUAAAUUAAAAAAAUAAAUACAAAAAUAUAAAAAUACCAAUAAUAUUAAAGCGAAAUGUUACCCAAAAUACAUGCAUUAAAUUAAAAGCGGAAUAAAACGAAAUUAGCGAAAAAUAUCCAAAAACGCGAUUUUCGCCGAACGAGUUACGCAAAUUGAACCCCCUUUUUUUCCUCUCUUUUUCUUUUUUUUCUUUUUUUUCUGGACUGGGCUGGGCAGGUUGUUGGGCCUGCUGCUGGAACGGGCCCAGGGGCCUGCUAGGCCUGCUGUUGGGCCUGGCACUGGGUUGGCCUGCUUGAAGUGCUGUUGGGCCAGCACUUGGGCUGUUAUGGCCUGCUGGGCUUGCUAAUAAGUGGCCAGCUUCCUUUUUUUGCUUUUAUCUCUUUUUUUGGGCUGCUCUUUGGGCCGCUGGGCUGCUACUGUGGCCUGCUAAGCUGCUGAUGCUGUCGGGUCGGGUAACAGGUCAGAUGGGUCGAGUCGAGCCGGGUCGGCCAGACUAUUAAAAAAAAUAUUUUCUUUUUUCUUUUUCUUUUUCUUUUUCUUUUCCUCCUUUCUUCUUCCUCCUUUCUUCUUUCUUUCUUCUUUCUUUUUUCUUCUUUCUUUCUUCUUUGUUCAGCUCCCGAUGACGCUCCCCCCAGCCUGCUGCGGUGGUCGAUGGCGGCGCACGAUGAAGCUCUCCUCUUCUCCUCCUCUUUUCUGAAAAAAAGCUCUCUAUUUUCUUUAUUUUUUCUUGGAUUUUUUUCAUGUAGGGGUCCAAUUUUUGGAGUUUAAACCCCUUUUUAUAGUUGGUUUUGCUUCUUUUUUUGCAGGUAGCAGGUGGGGAAGGCCAUGCCCUAGGCCGGCGGCCGGAAAUUGUGGGGCAGGUGCAGGAAAUCCUCCGAAUUAUUGGGGAUUUUCUGACAGAAGGACCAAAGUGUAAAACAUGUAAAACUUCUGGGAUGAAAUGUAAUUUUGAAAAAAAUUUAGGGUCAAAAUUUAAUUUUAAGAACGUUUAGGGGUCAAAAUGAAAUUUCAAAAAAUUUUAAGGAUCACAAUGAAAUUUUAAAAAGUUUAGGCGUCAAAAUAUAAUUUUAAAAAUUUAAAGGGUCAAAAUAUAAAUUUUUAAAAAAACACGAAAUUGCUUGCAAAAAUUGGCACGAAUUUUACAUUUUAUUUUCUUACGAAAUUCAUAACAAAAAAAAAUCCAGCAAAUGAAAAUAAAUUAGAAUAUCACCAUUGCUUCUAAGUAGCGUAAUCUUUCUCUCGACAUUUCCUCUCUCGCCUGAAAAUCGAAAUCCAUCACGUUACUUGAAAAAAGAAGAAGAAGGAAUUACACAAGAAAAAAAUCAAAUUUUAAUAGAGAAUACGAGCUGGAGAUCGUAGUAGGCGGAUUUGGAGAUAAGAGAUCCAUCGGGAGAUAAGCAAUGGCGCUCUAGCUGAUCGAUUACUUGGAUGACGUCAGCCGGCAAGUUUUGCCCUCCUUUCACCAUGAAUUCAGUCUUGUUUUGGCUUCGAAACGAUGUUAAUGAGUUCUGUUUGUUUACUGGGAAAAUGAAAAGGAAACUAAACGAGAAAAAGGCCGGCCUUUGGAUUUUUGAAAACUUGAAUUGAAAUGGAAGCAAAGGUUAUCGAAGGCGUGAAAAUACAAAAUCAACCCUCUAUUUUCUCUUAUUGGAGAAAAAUAAAUUAAAACAUUUAUUUAUUGUUAAAAUCUGCUUUUACUCCUUGUAAUUUGAUCAAAUUUUAUAUUUAGUCCCUGUACUUUACAAAAGUUAAAAAAUUAGCUCCUCCUACAUUUUUAUUAUUUAAAAAUAACAGCCCAAUCGUUAAAAUUGCAUGUUUUUACCAAAGUCAAAUUGACAUCAUGACUAGGUUGCCCUCAUGUAAUGUAACAUAUGUUUGACGGAAAAUAAGUCAAGUUGACAAGUUUUAAUAUAAACUACCAAUAACGAUAAUGAUUGAACUAAAAUUUUUUUAAGUAAAAAAUGUAGGAGAAUUGAUUUUUUAACUUUUUAAGUAUAUGGAGUAAAUCUCAAAUUUUAUAAAAAUAUAGGGACUAAAAACAUAUUAUAACCUUUAUUUAUGUUUAAGUUAAUUAUUGUUCAUUUUCUUUUUACCUCAAAUAAAUUAUUUAUCUCAAAAUUUAUUUAAGUUUUUUUUUAAAUAUGUUAAGGAAAAAUAAGAUGAUAACUGCUAUAUAAAUUUAUCAUUUUAUUUUUAAAUAUAUAUAAUUAUUAAAAGAGUAAAAAUGUAAAAAUGCAUUAUAGAAAAACACUUAUAUUUUAUGUUUAGAAUUUAUUUUCAAUUAAAAUUAUGUUUAAAUAUUUAUUUGUCUUUAAAAAGAUUAGAAAUAAUUAAUAAAAAUCACAUUGAAGUGAGACGAGGAGAGACGAAAAUGAAUGUAUCUAAUAUCUAUGGGAGUUGUAGUACUUUUUAAAAGGUAAAAUGACUUAUUUGGCCAUCUAACUUUUAAAAAAAAUAAUUUUAGUCAUUUAUUUAAUUUUUUACUUCUUUCAAACUUUAAACUUGCUUUUGUUUAUCAAAUCACCCAAAAUAGAUAGAAAAAUUAACAUAUGUUAAUUUUGUUGACGUGACAUACACGUGAAAUGCCACAUAAAUGUCAAAUCAAUAAUUAAUUAAUUUUUAAAAAAUUAAAAAUUAAUAAACUUAUUAAAAAAUAUUUUUUUAAUGAUUUUAAUUUUAAAAAUUUGAAUAAUUAUUAAUGGAUAUACUAGAGGCAAAUCUAGGAGGAUUGGUGUCGGCAAAGAGCUUGGUGGCAACAAAAAAUUUUAAUGGAAAAAAAAUAGCCUAGUGCUGCCAAUGAGAAAACUGACGCUAAAAAAAAAAUCAAACUUUCUAACAAAAAAAUACACCGAUGUUGCCAAUGGUAAUGGCAACACAAAAAAAAUCUAUUUUUUUAAAACAUUAUUUUUUCUGAUGGGUGUCGCCAAGGAGAACGACAACACAAAAAAAACUUUUUACAAAAACUUUGAUACAUUAAAAAAAAAACACUAGUACCGCUAAUAACAACGACGACACUCAUUAAAAUAAUUUUUUCCUUUUUUUCUUUUUCUCCUGGAAUACCGAAUUUUUAUGGGGUGGACGAUUAUACAUACUGGUGCUGCUAAUGGCACGACGACACUCAAAAAUUAAUUUGGUAAAAAUUAAGAAUAACAUAUGACUAAUGGUACCAUUUUGUUAUCAAGCAUCAUGAGGGUAUUGAUAUAUUCCUCACGUGGAACAUUAAAGUCCGAACUCAAAUUUUGUUUUGUAGACUAAAAAUUAUCUUUUUAAUAAAUUUUAAUUUGAUUUAAAAUUUUAUUAAAAUGAUAUUUUUUACUUUUGGGGUGGCAAAUCACACCUAAAUAAAAAAUAUCGGUACCAUCUCUAUAUAUUUAAAAUUAAAUUAAAUUUUACUGUUUAAAAUUUAAAUAUUUCACAAUAAACUUGACAUAUCCAUAGACUGAUGUGAACAAAACUCGAUUCAAUUCAGAAAAAUUAAUUUUUUUAAUUUUGAGUUAAUCGAAUUGAGUUAUUAAUUAUUUGAGUCAACUCGAAUAAGUAAUUCGAGUUUCGAGUUCGAAUUGAUUUGAAUUUUACAAAUCGAAUAACUCUAAUAACUUGAAUAACAGAUUGAUGUACAUACCCUUUUAGUCCUUGUCAAGUUUGAAAAUAAACAAAUUGAUCUUUUUCAACAAAAAUUACAAAAAAUUCAAAAUAAAUUUUAAACUCAAAAUAUUUAUAAAAAUUCCAAAAUUUAUAUUUUUCAAAAAAUUAUAAAAUUUUCAAAAAAGUUUUUAAAAAAUUAUAAAGAAAGUUAAAAAUAAAAAAAUAAUUUAAAAUUUAAAAUAAUGUAUGUAACUAAAACAAUUAACUUAUUGUUAAAUUAUGCAUUAAAACACAAUACUUGUAUGGCAUAAAUAAUUACAAUUAGAUAGUCAUAAUUACUGAAUUAAUUUGGGCAUAGUACCUAAAGGCUCAUUCCUGAAUUUUUUUACGGAAAUGAGCUGCUUCUAGAAAUAAUUACGAUUGUGGACUGAAAAUUUAAAAACGCAUUGAUAUGGAAGCGUUUUUAGGGGAUAACCUAGAAAAACGCUUCCACGUUAGCGCUUUUGUCCUUGUAUCUGGCAAAAGCACGCUUACAUGGAUGUGCUUUUGCCCAUGCUCGAACUAAAUUUUCAGAAAAAGAUCAUUUUUUUAAAUAUUUCAAAAAUAGACCAAUUUUUUUAAAAAUUUACGAGAAUAAGUCUUUAUAAAGACCCAAAGUGACAGCACCAUUUCUUUUUUUUUUGUGCCACCAAUAUAUAUUGAAAUAAAACUUACAAAACAGAUAUUUAUAUAAACUCAAAGUAUCAUUUUCCACAUUGUAAAAUAUAAUUAGUUAUAUAAAAAUCUGUCUGUAAAUUUUAUUUUCACAUUAAUUGGUAGCACAAAAAAAAAAAAGAAAUUGUGCUGCCACUUUAGAUCUUUAUAAAUGCUUAUUCUUGUAAAUUUUAAAAAAUUGAUCUAUUUUUGUAAUAUUUUUAAAAAAUAUUUUUUUGAAAAUUUAAUCUGAGCAUGAGCAAAAAUGUGUCCACGACACAAGGGAAAAAACGCUGAUGUGAAAGCACUUUAUUCCUUAUAUAUUUAUAUAUUUGACACAAACAUAAUCCUAAUAACUACCCAAAUGUUGUAAAUUACUAAACUAUAAAUGUAUAAAAAUAUGAAAUAUUUUAAACAUGGGUACUAUAAGUUUCUACAUUAUGGCAUAUUUGGUGAAAAUUAAUUAUAUUUAUUAAAAAAAUGACUCUUAAAUUUAGGGCAAAUUACACAUAAAAGCCCUAUUUUUUUAAAAUUUACCGAAAUAGGCCUGAUAUUUUAUUAUUUAUUAGAAUGUGCCAUUUUCCCCGAAAUCGCGUCUACGUCAGCGUGAUGUUAGGGGACGUGUCAGAAAAUCGCGUCCUCGUAGGCGCGAUUUGUGUCCACGUAAGCAAAGGGCGCUGAUGUGGACGCGAUUUGCUGACACGUCCCCUAAAAUCGCGCUGACGUGGACGCGAUUUUGGGAAAAAUGGCCCAUUCCUGUAAAUAAUAAAAUACCGGGCCCAUUUCGGUAAAUUUUUAAAAAAUAGGGUUUUUUUAUAUUUUUCCCCUAAUAAUACAUAUUAAUGUAUUACUGUAAUAUGUAGCUCAAAUUAUGUAUUGUAGUUAAUAUUUAUAAUAUUGUAGCUCAAAUUGUCAAUUAAUGUAAUAUUGAAGAGUUAAUUGAUUAAAAAAAUAAAUGCAACAAGUACAAAAAAGAUUCAAAAUUAUUACCAACAAGAUUUGAACCAAGGUAUUAAGGGAAAAGAGCAAACAUCUUAACCAACUAAGCUAAAUUAAUUAAUUAACAUAUUAUAAAAAUACUGUUAUUAUCUUAAUUAUAUUACUUACAUUCUAAUGAUUUAUCGGACCUAUUCCAUACAUGUGUCAAAUCAGAAAAAAUAAUACAACAAUUCUGUAAAAAAAAUCCGGUGUAUACUUCAAAUAAAUAAGGAAAAUAAUGAUUUGAAUGUUUCAAAAUUCAAUUUUAAACCAAAAAAAUCAAAAUUUAGAGGUAAAAAAGGAUCUUUUUCGACGAAAACUGCGGCAAACAUGUAUGAUUGGUUAGUUUCAAAAUAAUGACUGAAUGAUUGGGGCAAAUGACCAAAAAAAGCCAUUUUUUUCAAAAAUUACCGAAAUGGGCCGAUUUUUUGAUUAUUUACCGGAAUGAGCCAUUUUUCGGGAAAUCGGGUCUACGUCAGUGCGAUGUCGGAGGGCAUGUCAGAGGGUCGCGUCCACGUCAGCAAGUCGCGCUGACGUGGACGCGACCCUCUCCGCGCGUGAACAGUGCCCAACGGUAAAAAAUUUGACCGUUGGCCCCCCCAACGGUAAAAAAAAGAGAGUAUAAAUACCCCCCACCCCUUUUAUUUUUUUCACAUCUCAAAUUCUCUCAAUUUCCUCUCUAAUCCUCUCAAUUUCAUUCCACAAUUCUCUCAAUUUCCUUCAAAAAUUCUUUCAAAUCCAUAUUUAAUUUCAAUUUCCCCUCAAUUUCAUUUUUUUAAAAUAAUUUUAAUUUUUUUCUAUUUCAUUAAAAUAAAUUUAAAUUUUUUUAUAUUUUCAUCAAUGGCCGGAUCAUUGAUUCGUCUUGAUAGGAAUCACAUAUCGGUGGAGCAAAUGAAAAUGGUAAGUAUUAAAUUUAAAUUCGCUAGUAUUAUUUAAGAAUUUUUUAUUUAUGUAUUUUUAGAUAAUUAUUAAUUUAUUAUUUGUUAUAAUAGUCUGAAGAUCGGGUAUUGGAAUGCAAUAUCCGGAAUAUGCGACCUAUAUCACCGUUAAUAGAGAACUACCUGCGGGAAGCGGGUUUUUGGCACGUGGCGAACAUAGGCCGGGGAUGCAAGUUGGACACGAAACUGAUCAGUGCGUUGAUCGAGAGGUGGAGACUCGAGACGUACACAUUUCAUCUUCCAUGUGGAGAGUGCACUAUCACUCUAGAAGAUGUGAGUCUGCAGUUGGGAUUGCUGGUGGACGGGCACCAGUCACCGGGUCUGCCCAAUUUAGCAAUUGGGAGGCGGUGUGCUAUGAGCUUUUAGGCACUAUUCCUGACAAAAAGGAUGGAGGUAAGGUCGAGAUGGGCUGGUUACGUGCCACCUUCCCCGAUCCGAAUGCAAAUUCAACCGAAAUUGAAAGAAUCCGAUAUGCUCGAGCAUACAUUCUUCAAAUAAUUGGAGGUUAUCUGAUGCCCGACAAGUCACGAAGCCGUGUACAUCUAAGGUGGCUGCUAAAACUAGUUGAUUUUAGAGCAGCCCGUGAAUUGAGUUGGGGGUCUGCCGUAUUGGAAACAUUAUAUCGGGAGAUGUGCGGGACGACAUGACCGAGGAGAGCAAACAUCAGAGGUUGCGUGUCACUACUGCAAUCAUGGGUACGGUUUCGCUUUCCAUUUCUACGUCCUCGAGUGAACCACCCAUAUACAUUCCCACUCGUAACGAGGUAAAUUUUAUAAUACAUUUUGGAAUUAUUAUGUAGAUUCUGUAAGAAUAAAAGAAUGCUAAAAAUUAAUUUAAUUAGGUGGAACCAUCCGUUAAGUUAUCGUGGAUUACCGUCUGAACUUGAAGAUAUACGGCUUCUCUUGGACCAACGGUCGGAAGCAGAAGUAAGUAUUAUUGCAAAUUGAUAUUUUCAUACAUUCGCUAGUCGAUUGAUAUUUAGUAUUUAGUAUUUAGUAUUAUGUAUAUAACUAAUAUUUCUAUCAUGUUCAUAUAGUUUCAAUGGAAACCAUAUGAGGAUCCGGCAAUUCGGGUAGUAAUACCGGAAGAGUUUUUACAAAAUCAGAACGCUUGGCACGUGAAAGUCGUGUUGGUAAACUACGCAACAGUGGAGCCGCACCAGACAGACAGUGUGCUAUGACAGUUUGGAUGUAGACAACCGAUUCCUGUGGACCCUGAGGUGUUUGACGAGCACAAUAAAAUUGACCUUCGGCUAUUAGGGACGGAUUGGCCUAGAUACUAGUCCGAGUUUACGGAAAUGUGGGAAAAUCAGCAUGAAUAUCUACCUACUCGGGAACCAAUCAUCGUUCCGGAAUUAGCGUGCGUUCCAGAAUACAUGCCAUGGUUUAGGAUCCAUGGCAAGCCGUAUUUACUAACGCCAGAGGAGAGGCAGCGACAAAUACGAGUCGAAAGGGAAAGGCGUGGGCCUCUAGAUCCAAGAGGAGAAGACCACGAAUGCGGCCCCUCAACGAGGCGCAGACAGUCACCCGGCUCAUCAUUAGCGGCCAUGCAAUCACCGUCCCCAAUGAAAGCACCGACCCAGUCACCUGACGCAACAAUUCAACAGAUGAUACCCACGCAACCGCCUUUCCCUAUGAUGCCAGGUGUGUUUCCUAGCCCUUAUAUGUACCCUAACCCUUACAUAUAUCCUUUUCCGAGUCCUAUGGCAGGUUGGAGCCAAAUGCCUGGUUCAGCUCCAUUUCCGAGUCCUAUGCCGAGCAGACCGCCGAUAUAUAGGCCAGUGGCGCAGGAGGGAUCGCAAGGGGGGCCGUCGGGGAGCUCUCCUUUUUACCAAUCGCCACAAACGUAUGGCUUUCAAACACCGUCGCCGUUCAUGAUGCAAACACCUCCACAUACACUAUUCUUUGAAGGUGGAUCAUCGUCCCAAGUCCGACAACCAGAUGCCGAACCGGAAGAAGCACAAUCACCACCAGAGGAAGAACAACCGCCACCGAAAGCUAGAGGAAGGAGGAACCCAGCGCGUAACCGUCGACGGCCGCCAUGUGAAACCGAAUCCCCCGUGCAUAGACAUUGAUUGCCGUAUUUUAAUUUAUUAUUUGAUGUAAUAAAAUAGAAGUUUAUUUGAUGUAAUACGCAUAGAAAUUUUUUCGAGUUAAUUUGAUAUUAUUUGACGUAAUAAUAUAAAAGUUUAUUUUAAUAUUAUUUGACAUAGUAAAAUAGAUGUUGUAUUUGAUGUAAUAAAAACCCUAACCCUAACCCUAACUUAAUUAAAAACCCUAACCCUAACUCUAACUAUAACUUAAGUAAAACCCUAACCCUAACUUAAUUAAAACCCUUAAAACCCUAACCCUAACCCUAACCCUAACUUAAUUAAAAACCUAACCCUAACUUAAUUAAAAACCUUAAAACUCUAACCCUAACUUAAUUAAAAAUACUAACCCUAACCCUAACCUUAACCCUAACCGAUAAUAGCUUAAAAACCUUAAAACCCUAACCUUAACUUAAUUAAAAACCCUAACCCUAACCUAAUUAAAAACCUUAAAACCCUAACCUUAACCCUAACCUAAUUAAAAACCCUAACUCUAACCCUAACCCUAAUUUAAUUAAAAACCCUAACCCUAACCCUAACCCUAACUUAAUUAAAAACCCUAACCCUAACCCUAACUUAAUUAAAAACCCUAACCCUAACCCUAACCUUAACUUAAUUAAAAACCCUAACCCUAACCCUAACUUAAUUAAAAACCCUAACCCUAACCCUAACCCUAACUUAAUUAAAAACCUUAACCCCAACUUAAUUAAAAACCUUAAAACCCUAACCCUAACCUUAACUUAAUUAAAAACCCUAACUCUAACCCUAACCCUAAUUUAAUUAAAAACCCUAACCCUAACUUAAUUAAAAACCCUAACCCUAACCCUAACCUUAACUUAAUUAAAAACCCAAACCCUAACUUAAUUAAAAACCAUAACCCUAACCUUAACCUUAACUUAAUUAAAAACCCUAACCCUAACCCUAACCUUAACUUAAUUAAAAACCUUAACCCUAACUUAAUUAAAAACCCUAACCCUAACCCUAACCCUAACUUAAUUAAAAACCCUAACCCUAACCCUAACCCUAACUUAAUUAAAAACCCUAACCCUAACUUAAUUAAAAACCUUAAAACCCUAACCCUAACCUUAACUUAAUUAAAAACCCUAAACCUUAAACCUAAUUUAAUUAAAAACUUUAACCCUAACCCUAAACCUAACCCUAACUUAAUUAAAAACCUUAAAACCCUAACCCUAACUUAAUUAAAAACCCUAACCUUAACUUAAUUAAAAACCCAAACCCUAACUUAAUUAAAAACCCUAACCCUAACCCUAACCUUAACUUAAUUAAAAACUCUAACCCUAACCCUAACCUUAACUUAAUUAAAACCCCAAACCCUAACUUAAUUAAAAACCCUAACCCUAACUUAAUUAAAAACUCUAACCCUAACCCUAACUUAAUUAAAAACCCUAACCCUAACCUUAACCCCAACUGGUAACAACUUAAAAACCUUAAAACCCUAACCUUAACACUAACUUAAUUAAAAACCCUAACCCAAACCCUAACCCUAACUUAAUUAAAAACCCUAACCCUAACUUAAUUAAAAACCCUAACCUUAACUUAAUUAAAAACCCUAACCCUAACCUAAACCCUAACCAUAACCUUAACUUAAUUAGAAACACUAACCCUAACCUAAUUUUACAUAAUGUUAUAUUUGGUAAAAUGUUUUGACUGGUACUAAUAAUUUACUGGCAUAUAUAAUUUUUUCAAAAAUUAUAUUUUUUUUGAUUAAUUCAAAAAUUACAUUCAACUAUUGCGAUUAAGGCAUGAUCGACUUGUAUGGCCUGGGUUCCUACACCAUCCGCACAACUUCUGUUGACUGGCUGUUUCUCGGAUAUCCAUAUUGCUCCGUAUUCUAGUGGAGCAAGGUCGACCCUUUAGUUUGUGACGCAAUUCUCUAUCCGGUAAUAGCUUAAAAGGAGCAAGAGAUACGGGCGGCCACUUACGUUCAUCUGGGACCGGUGGGAAAACAUUUUUCCAAACGUUUUACACGUUUUCCAAUUUGUACACUUCGUCAACGAAACUCAUAGGAUCUAGAUGGAGAUUCUGACAAGCUGCAAUAACAUGAGCGCAUGGAUAACGAAGUGCAUCAAACUUCCCACAGUCACAAGUCUUGUUUCGCAAGUGUACACGAUAUUGCCCGCCAACAACAUCUUGGUGCAGUCUGUCAAACUCAGUCACACGAAACUAUAAAUUGUCUCGAUCGUGACACACUGUGUGCAUGAUGUUUGCCCUCGCCUUCGCCUUGUUAAUUUCUUGAACUACCUUACUGCACCAUACAUGGCCACCCUGCAUCUGGCCUGCAUAAGUUGCUGCUCGCUUUGGAAAUAGCGCCGCCAAAUGGAAAUACAUCUCUCACACAACCACUGUUAUCGGUAGAUGACGCAUUCCUUUAAGAACAGAAUUUAUGCAUUCUGCCAGGUUCGACGUUAUAUGGCCAUAUCUUAGGCCUCCAUCGUAUGCUUGUGCCUACUGUUCGAAACGUAUGUUACAAAGGUAGUCCGCCCCUUCUUCGUUUUGGGAUCGUAAAAUUGCCAACAUCUUGUGAAAACGAUCUUUAUUUAUUUCAUACCCUGCCAAUAUAAGAUCAUAGUGAAUAUUUAAUACCACUUCUACUAAUAAAACUAAUUCAAAAUGACAAACUGAAUAAUACAGUUAUAGACUAAAUACCCAUGUUGGUCACUUGUCGUCGUUUCAUCUUAGAUGGAUAUUGCCUGUAGUAGUUCGAAGUAACGUAUCUUAGGCUAUAUCUAUGGUGUGUGCGUUGCCAUAAGCUUCCCUCUCGAUCAAAUGCAGCUAGUAUACUGACGCCCCGAUCUGAAAUAACACAGAUAUCAGGUUGGGGGCACACAUGCCUCCUUAACCUAGAGAGAAAGAAAUCACAGUCAUCAGACGACUCCCCCGGUGUUAUUGCAAAAGCAAUUGGAAGAAUUCUCCCACCGUCGUCCUGUGCCACUGUAACCAAUAGCCGAUGAGUAUACCUACCGAACAUGAAGGUACCGUCAAUUUGUACCAAUGGCUUGCAGUAUGGAAAUGCCUCUCGAAAUUACUUAAAGGUCCAAAAUAGCCGUUUGAACACUUGGCAUCCACGUAGCAAUCGGCCGUUGUAGUACGCAUGUUCCGUUUCAAGUUCUGUGAUGGCACCUGGGACGUAUCUCUCUACCACCUGACACCAGUGCCAUAUUUUAUUAUAUGAGGCGUCCCACCCACUAUGCAUCUUCUCCAACGCCUUUUGCUUAGCUAUCCAAGCCUUGCGGUAAGAGGGCGUGUACCCCAUUUGGCUACGGAUAUUGGCAAUUAUCAUCCGCACUGAAGUCUUAGGAUCUACUUUUAUCGUGGGCAGUAUCAAGCUAGCUAACAUGGCUGAAUCCAUUUUGGGAUGGUCUUGUGAAACACCUACAGAGGGACUACAUUAAUUAAUGCAACAUUGAAAAAUAAAAAUUAUUAUCCAGAUACAUUCAAUCCUGUACCUGCAGCAUAUGUAUGUGGACCUUUUUACUUUUUUAUGUCCGCACACCUCGCCUCGAACUUAUCAAAUUUUGAUUUAAUGACGUGGUAAUUAACGCCGUUUUUGAUGCUAUGCUGUUUCAAUGAACCGAUAAAACUAUCAUUAUUGGUAAACUGAUUACCAACUUCAAGUUCACUGAAAUCUACCCCCGAACUUGUACGAUCGCUCAACCAGUGUGGUAGAUAUAGAAACUCUAACACAUCAUCUGCUGACAGAUCGACAUUAUGCAUGUGGGCUGGAGGUGAGUAUGCUCUGAAUUGUGGAUUUUCUUCAUCAUCUGAACUCCUUUCAGCAUCUUCACCUUCUGUUGGAAUAGGCUCUGAUUAUGAAAAUAAUCCCACAUCUACACUAUCCGGCCGGGGCUCUCGAGGUGGAUCUAUAUCGGAUUCAUCUUCUAACUCAUAAUCAUCUGUAGCGUACGACGUCCCCUCACUGGGUAACCUGCUAACCGAGUGUCGGCCAAGGGUCAUGUAUACAUCUCGAACAUCGGACGAAAGUACAUCAGUUGGCGACGUAAAUUGUACAUAUAACUCAAUAUAAGUUGCUCCACUAGGAAGAUGUGUCUGCACCAUUGCCUCCAAGCUACGGGCACCUUUUAUGUCAAACGAGUCAUAUGUCAUCGGAUCAACACAAGAACAAAAUCGAUACGUGAUUGACAGAACUUUCAUUGGCAUCGUUCCGAAGAUUUUACGCCUAAUUCUUUUACGAAGUUCUGUCAAAUCUAUGUUCUGGUUAAAUGACAGUCGCACCGUAUUCUCCGAUAAAAAACACCAUUCUCGGUGUGGCAAACCUCACCAUCGUAGUAAAUAACAGCACUAAUACGUUCACUCAUUUUGAAACUCACACUUUCUUAGCCUCUCUAAAUUGUUUCUGCUAUGACUUAUGCUUUCUAAGAACAUUUUCUGCCUAAUUUAUAGCCUCAACCCAAACUUGCUAUUGUAGCAAAAUCGCGUCCACGGGGCCGCGGUUUCACAAUUUCUCCUCAAAUACCAUCCUGGUAGAAGCGAUUUUAUACUAUUUGCUCAGAAACGUCAAAAAAAAUCAUUUCAUACAUGACCUACUGUAGCAAAAUCGCGUCCACGGGGGCACAAUUUCACAAUUUCUCCUCGAAUUUCGUCCUGGUAUAAGCAAUUUUACACUAUUUGCUCAGAAACGUCAAAAAAAAUUAUUUCUUACAUGACCUACUGUAGCAACAUCGCGUCCACGGGGGCGCGAUUUCACAAUUUCUCCUGAAAUACCAUCCUGGUAGCAGCGAUUUUAUACUAUUUCACCAGAAACGUCAACUCGAAAUAAUUUAUUCUGGGACCUAUACAACCUAAAAAGCCUGAACCCUAAUCCCUAAAACCAAAAAAAACAAAUGUGAAAAAACAUUAGGGUCGCGUCCACGUCAGCGCGACCUGCUGACGUGGACGCGACCCUCUGACAUGUCCUCCGACAUCGUGCUGACGUAGACGCGAUUUCCCGAAAAAUGGCCCAUUCCGAUUAGGGGUGAGCAUUCGAUCGAAUCGAAUCGAAAAUUUUUGAGUUAAUCGAGUUUUCGAAUCUCAUUUUAUCAUCCUAACUUUAUUUGAAGUUUUUUCGAAUCGAGUCGAGUGAGAUGGAAUUCGAAUCGAAUCGAAUCGAAUAUAUUUGUUCGAGUUAAAUUUUAAAAAAUAAUUUUGGGUCCUUGUAACCAUUGUCACCCAUCGUAAUAAAAUUUGUCCACCUUAAUCAAAUUUUUUUAUUAACUUUCAUCACCUCAUAAUUUAUUUAUUAAUUUUUUUUAUACUGGUUAGCUUAUUUGUUUGCUUAGUUGUUUCAAUUAUCUUCGGAUUCUUGUCACUAUGUAUUUUGGAAUUAAAAAAUAUAUUAAAUAUAAAAAUAUGAUUUUUUAAUAAAAUUUAUUUUAAAAAUAAAAUUUGAAAUUGAUACCAAUAUAAAAUUUUAACACGAAUAUUUUAUGGCAUAAUUAAGAAUUCAAUUUUAAUAUAAAUAUUCAAUAUGACUAAACAAUUCAAUAAUAUAAAUAAUAUAAAAUGUGAAAUUUAAUUUAAUAAUAUAAAUAGUAUAUAUAAAUAAAAUUAUUACUAUUUAUGUUUAGUGAUUUUUUUUUGGAUAAUUUUGAUUUUUUAUUUGAGAGUAAAGGGUGAGAAGUAAAAGUUUAGGGGGAAAAUAAAAAGUUUUGGGGAAUAAAAGUUUGAAGGAAAGUAAAUAGGGGGAGUAAAAUUUUGGAGGGAAAAUAUUAAAAAAAUGGAGGGGGGAGGGUUUGGGGUAGAUGGGAGGUGGGAUGGGAAGAGAAUAAAAGUUUUAGGGGAAAAGUGGGAGGGUGUAAAAAUUUUGGGGGGAAAUAAAAGGUUUUGAAGGUGUUUGGGAGUAAAAUUUUAAAAAAAAUGAAUGGAAGAGUAAAAUUUUGGUGGGAAAUGGAUUUUGGGUAGAUUGGGGGGUUGGGAGGGGAGGGGAGGGGAGUAAAAGUUUUGGGGAGAAAGUGGGAAGGAGUAAAAGUUUUGAGGGAAAAGUAAAAAAGUUUGGGAGUUUAGGGUAAAACUGUAAAAUAUUAUAGUUUGAUAUUCGAAUUAUUCGAGUUAUUCAAAUUCGAAAACUCAACUCGAUUCGAACUCGAAAUUCGAAAAAAAUCGAGUUGAUUCGAUUAACUCGAUUAACUUGAAUAACUCGAUUCGUUUAACUCGAAAUUCGAAUUUUUUUUCGAUUUUUUCGAGUCGAAACGAAUUUUGCUCACCCCUAAUUCCGAUAAAUAAUCAAAAAAUUGGCCCAUUUUAGUAAAUUUUGAAAAAAUGGCUUUUUUGGUAAAUUGGCCGAAUGAUUGACGUUGUCAUGAAUGUUUGGUUAGUUUGAUGUAUGAUUGGUUGUAUGUAUAGCAUGUUUUGAAUGAAAGUAAAGCUUAUACAAGAUAUAUUCGUACAAGUGAUUUCCUAUGAAAUGUUAGAAAGAUUGCUAUACAUGCAGAAAACAAAAGUUGUAAAUGUACAUGAAAUUGUGAUUUGUUAAAUUAUACCACCUUGAAGUUAAAUUGAAAGUUGGAUCGAUGAUCUUACUCACUGAAUGUAUUUGAUAAUUUGAGGGCAUGUUGAACAUACCAAUAAAUUGUGAAAGUAUUGAAUUAUGACUAUGUAUGAAAUUGUAUAACAUUGAUUAGAAUUAGGUUUUUUCAACCUAUAAAUAGAUGUAGUAGAAACUCCUCUUGUAUUAUUCGAAUUCGACAUUAGUGAAUUUUUUUCUCCUCUGCCCGUGGUUUUUCUCCGAAAGGAUUUCUACAAAAAUCUGUGUUCUUUAUUUUUUUCAACAAUGUUUUUAUAUUGCCAUUAUCGAUGUUCAGUUUUUAACAUAUUCUAAUCAAUAUGAAUCGAUUUUAAUAGACAAAAAAACUAUCGAAACUAAACUUAAAUUACUUAGACUAAUCUAGAAUUGAAGCAGUACAUAUCAACCUAUAGUACCAAUAUAAUACCAGAGAGAAUCGUGAUAAGCUGGACAAUGCAUAUGUAAGCUGGACCAUGCAUAUAUAGUUUUCUAAGUAAAUUCCUAGAAUCCAUUAAAUAUAUACGCAAUACGCUCUGUCUCUUCCUUUCUCGGGAUCUCCAUGUACUGUGCUGACUUUUCCUUUUCCAUUCAGUUAUCUUAUACAACAUCAACGAAGGUUCUAUUUUAAAGAAUACCCUUCAUAAAAACUAAUAUUUUGGGUUGAUAGCUAUUCUUCCUUGAGUUCUCAUUUUUAUCAUUAUACUCAAUAUUUAUUAAUUUUUCCUUAAUGCAAUUUGCAUCAAGAAUUUGUUUAUUUUACCUCAAAGAGAUUAGACCCAACAUCUUAUCCGUACGGUGGGUAAAACAAGGACGACGCCAAGGGAACUGGUAGGGGUCAGGCCACCCUAAAACAAAAAAAAAAUCACUUUAAUCCCUUUAAGUUAAUAAAAUUAUUAGUAAACGAUUAAGUUGUAUUCAAAAAUUAUAAAAUAUUCAAACAAAUAAAAAUUUUAAAUAUAUAAAUUCGAAAAAAAUAACAUAAAAUACACUUGGAUUGUCAUUCAAGUUGUCAUACCUAAAAAUUUAAGGUUUUUAGUCAAUAUCUCCAUUCAAAAAAUUGUAAUAAUUUGACUUAAUUUGAAAGAAGGACUGAUUUAACUAAAAAAGAAUAAUGACCAAAUUGAUAAAAAAAUAAACAUUAAUGACUAACUUUGUUAUUAUCCAUAAAUAAUAAAUUAAUUUUAUCUUCAAUGGAAGUUUAAGGAUUAAGUUAAUGCUGAUCCAUAAAUAGCGGGUUCAACGCCAAUAGCUUAGCCUAUCAAACCAUUUACCUUAAUCUUGAGUAGUUAAACAAUGGGGAACGAAUAUUAAGAAGAUUUUAUAAGCACAUGAUUGAAAUCAAAGUACUUCAAACAAACAAUUUAUAUGGAUCCAUUUUCAUUGUUCAGCUCAACGACUUGCAGAAAAAUGUGGUUUGGAAACUUUGGGGUUGCAUUUAACGUAAUCAUCUUAGUUGAUGCUUAACCUCAGCAAAGAUGCAACUUUUUCUGCACCUUAUGCUAUAUUGGUUGGUAUGAGCUGAUUCCAUGAUGUUUAUAUUAUUUUAUGGAUAAGUUUUAAUUGAAUCAUUUGUAAAAAUUUGAUCUCUAAUUUUUUCAUUGAUAUGUAUGAUAUAUGUAACACCCCAAACUCGGCCUAGAAGUUUAAGCCAAAUCUAGACGAGCUACACUAACGUAGCAAAAUCGUACUUCUUGUCAGAGUUUUAACUUUGAAAAUCAAAAAAUCAUUUUAGUCAAUUUAGACGAUUUUGUAAUUUUGUUUUAGACUUGGCAGAUACUGACGAGAUUUGGAAACUUAGAACAUUUUGCAAUUGAUGGUUGGGAGGAGUUGGCAUCUCUAUCACGGUAUGGGUUUAGUUUAGUUGGACAUCGUUUCAUUUCCGUUUGGCGUUGUGCUCAACUGCAGUCUUUGGAAGCAGAGGAAGCCGAAUUGCAACCUGACAAGAUUUCACGUGUUGAAUCUUUGGAGAUAAUUUCUUGUGAUAGGCUCAAUAGACUGCCAAAAGUCUUACAUGAGCUCACAUUCCUUACAGUGAUGGAAAUUGAUAAUUGUCUAAGCUUGGUUUCUUUUGCAGAGAAUAACUUACCACCUAAUUUUAAAAAGCUGAGAAUUAGAAACUGUGAGAAUUUGGAGUAUUUGGUUGAUGAAAAAGAAGAUAAUAAGAGUAUGAGUAGUACCCUCUGUCUUCUUGAGGACUUGAAAAUCUUUGAGUGUCCAUCUCUAAUGUCUUUGUCAUCGAAGCGGCACAAAAAUAUUUGCAAUCAGCUUCAACUUCUCGAAAUUGACCAGUGCUCAAAGCUGAGUUGCUAAUUAAAAACACUAACCCUAACCCUAACCUUAACCCUAACCGGUAAUAGCUUAAAAACCUUAAAACCCUAACCUUAACUUAAUUAAAAACCCUAACCUUAACCCUAACUUAAUUAAAAACCCUAACCCUAACUUAAUUAAAACCCUAACCCUAACUUAAUUAAAAACUUUAAAACCCUAACCCUAACCCUAACUUAAUUAAAAACCCUAACUCUAACCCUAACCCUAACCUUAACCCUAACUUAAUUAAAAACCCUAACCCUAACUUAAUUAAAAACCCUAACCCUGACCCUAACUUAAUUAAAAACCCUAACCCUGACCCUAACCUUAACUUAAUUAAAAACCCUAACCCUAACCCUAACCCUAACUUAAUUAAAAACCCUAACCCUAACUUAAUUAAAAACCUUAAAACCCUAACCCUAACCUUAACUUAAUUAAAAACCCUAACUCUAAUCCUAACCCUAAUUUAAUUAAAAACCCUAACCCUAACCCUAACUUAAUUAAAAACCCUAACCCUAACCUUAACUUAAUUAAAAACCCUAACCCUAACUUAAUUAACAAACCUAACCCUAACCCUAACCCUAACUUAAUUAAAAACCCUAACCCUAACCCUAACCUUAACUUAAUUAAAAACCCAAACCCUAACUUAAUUAAAAACCCAAACCCUAACUUAAUUAAAAACCAUAACCCUAACUUAAUUAAAAACCCUAACCCUAACCCUAACCCUAACCGGUAACAGCUUAAAAACCUUAAAACUUUAACCUUAACCCUAACUUAAUUAAAAACCCUAACCCUAACCUUAACUUAAUUAAAAACCAUAACCCUAACUUAAUUAAAAACCCUAACCCUAACCUUAACUUAAUUAAAAACCCUAACCCUAACCUAAACCCUAAACCCUAACCAUAACCUUAACUUAAUUAAAAACCCUAACCCUAACCUAAUUUUACAUAAUGUUAUAUUUGGUAAAAUGUUUUGACUGGUACUAAUAAUUUACUGGCAUAUAUAAUUUUUUUCAAAAAUUACAUUUUUUUUGAUAAAUUCAAAAAUUACAUUCAACUAUUGCGAUUAAGGCAUGAUCGACUUGUAUGGCCUGGGUUCCUACACCAUCCGCACAACUUCUAUUGACUGGCUGUUUCUCGGAUAUCCAUAUUGUUCCGUAUUCUACUGGAGCAAGGUCAACCCUUUGGUUUGUGACGCAAUUCUCUAUCCAGUAACAGCUUAAAAGGAGCAAGAGAUACGGGCGGCCACUUACAUUCAUCUGGGACCAGUGGGAAAACAUUUUUCCAAACGUUGUACACGUUUUCCAAUUUGUACACUUCGUCAACGAAACUCAUAGGAUCUAGAUGGAGAUUCUGACAAGCUGCAAUAAUAUGAGCGCAUGGAUAACGAAGUGCAUCAAACUUCCCACAGUCACAAGUCCUGUUUCGCAAGUGUACACGAUAUUGCCCGCCAACAACACCUUGGUGCAGUCUGUCAAACUCCGUCACACGAAACUAGAAAUUGUCUCGAUUGUGACACACUGUGUGCAUGAUGUUUGCCCUCGCCUUCGCCUUGUUAAUUUCUUGAACUACCUUACUGCACCAUACAUGGCCACCCUGCAUCUGGCCUGCAUAAGUUGCUGCUCGCUUUGGAAAUAGCGCCCCCAAACGGAAAUACGUCUCUCACACAACCACUGUUAUCGGUAGAUGACGCAUUCCUUUAAGAACAGAAUUUAUGCAUUCUGCCAGGUUCGACGUUAUAUGGCCAUAUCUUAGGCCUCCGUCGUAUGCUUGUGCCUACUGUUCGAAACGUAUGUUACAAAGGUAGUCCGCCCCUUCUUCAUUUUGGGAUCGUAAAAUUGCCAACAUCUUGUGAAAACGAUCUUUAUUUAUUUCAUACCCUGCCAAUAUAAGAUCAUAGUGAAUAUUUAAUACCACUUCUACUAAUAAAACUAAUUCAAAAUGACUAACUGAAUAAUACAGUUAUAGACUAAAUACCCAUGUUGGUCACUUGUCGUCAUUCCAUCUUAGAUGGAUAUUGCCUGUAGUAGUUCGAAGCAAUGUGUCUUAGGCAAUAUCUAUGGUGUGUGCGCUGCCAUAAGCUUCCCUCUCAAUCAAAUGCAGCUAGUAUACUGGCGCCCCAAUCUGAAAUAACACAGAUAUCAGGUUGGGGGCACACAUGCCUCCUUAACCUAGAGAGAAAGAAAUCACAGUUAUCAGACGACUCCCCCGGUGUUAUUGCAAAAGCAAUUGGAAGAAUUCUCCCAUCGCCGUCUUGUGCCACUGUAACCAAUAGCCGAUGAGUAUACCUACCGAACAUGAAGGUACUGUCAAUUUGUACCAACGGCUUGCAGUAUGGAAAUGCCUCUCGAAAUUGCUUAAAGGUCCAAAAUAGUCGUUUGAACACUUGGCAUCCACGUAGCAAUCGGCCGUUGUAGUACGCAUGUUCCGUUUCAAGUUCUGUGAUGGCACCUGGGACGUAUCUCUCUACCACCUGACACCACUGCCAUAUUUCAUUAUAUGAGGCGUCCCACCCACUAUGCAUCUUCUCCAACGCCUUUUGCUUAGCUAUCCAAGCCUUACGGUAAGAGGGCGUGUACCCCAUUUGGCUAUGGAUAUUGGCAAUUAUCAUCCGCACUGAAGUCUUAGGAUCUGCUUUUAUCGUGGGCAGUAUCAAGCUAGCUAACAUGGCUGAAUCCAUUUUGGGAUGGUCUUGUGAAACACCUACAGAGGGACUACAUUAAUUAAUGCAACAUUGAAAAAUAAAAAUUAUUAUCCAGAUACAUUCAAUCCUGUACCUGCAGCACAUGUAUGUGGACCUUUGUACUUUUUUAUCUCCCACAACCCUGUCCUUUUCCUUAACGAGUCGACGAUUUUCCAGGAACAUGUGCCGUCUUGCACCGCACACCUCGCCUCGAACUUAUCAAAUUUUGAUUUAACGACAUGGUAAUUAACGCCGUUUUUGAUGCUAUGCUGUUUCAAAGAACCGAUAAAACUAUCAUUAUUGGUAAACUGAUUACCAACUUCAAGUUCACUAAAAUCUACCCCCGAACUUGUACGAUCGUACAACCGGUGUGGUAGAUCUAGAAACUCUAAUACAUCAUCUGCUGAUAGAUCGACAUUAUGCAUGUGGGCUGGAGGUGAGUAUGCUCUGAAUCGUGGAUUUUCUUCAUCAUCUGAACUCCUUUCAGCAUCUUCACCUUCUGUUGGAAUAGGCUCCGAUUAUGAAAAUAAUCCCACAUCUACACCAUUCGGCCCGGGCUCUCGAGGUGGAUCUAUAUCAGAUUCAUCUUCUAACCCAUAAUCAUCUGUAGCGUAUGACGUCCCCUCACUGGGUAACCCGCUAACCGAGUGUCGGCCAAGGGUCAUGUAUACAUCUCGAACAUCGGACGGAAGUACAUCAGUUGGCGACGUAAAUUGUACAUAUAACUCAAUAUAAGUUACUCCAUUAGGAAGAUGUGUCUGCACCAUUGCCUCCAAGCUACGGGCACCUUUUAUGUCGAACGAGUCAUAUGUCACCGGAUCAACACAAGAACAAAAUCGAUACGUGAUUGACAGAACUUUCAUUGGCGUCGUUCUGAAGAUUUUACGCCUAAUUCUUUUACGAAGUUCUGUCAAAUCUAUGUUCUGGUUAAAUGACAGUCGCACCGUAUUCUCUGAUAAAAAAACACCAUUCUCGGUGUGGCAAAUCUCACCAUCGUAGUAAAUAACAGCACUAAUACGUUCACUCAUUUUGAAACUCACACUUUCUUAGCCUCUCUAAAUUGUUUCUGCUAUGACUUAUGAUUUCUAAGAACAUUUUCUGCCUAAUUUAUAGCCUCAACCCAAACUUGCUAUUGUAGCAAAAUCGCGUCCACGGGGCCGCGGUUUCACAAUUUCUCCUCAAAUACCAUCCUGGUAGAAGUGAUUUUAUACUAUUUGCUCAGAAACGUCAAAAAAAAUCAUUUCAUACAUGACCUACUGUAGCAAAAUCGCGUCCACGGGGGCACAAUUUCACAAUUUCUCCUUAAAUUCCAUCCUGGUAUAAGCAAUUUUACACUAUUUGCUCAGAAACGUAAAAAAAAUUAUUUCUUACAUGACUUACUGUAGCAACAUCGCGUCCACGGGGGCGCGAUUUCACAAUUUCUCCUCAAAUACCAUCCUGGUAGCACCGAUUUUAUACUAUUUCACCAGAAACGUCAACUCGAAAUAAUUUAUUCUGGGACCUAUACAACCUUAAAAGGCCUGAACCCUAAACCCUAAAACUAAAAAAACCAAACGUGAAAAAACAUCAAGGUCGCGUCCACGUCAGCACGACCUGCUGACGUGGACGCGACCCUCUGACAUGUCCUCCGACAUCGUGCUGACGUAGACGCGAUUUCCUGAAAAAUGGCCCAUUCCGAUAAAUAAUCAAAAAAUCGGCCCAUUUUAGUAAAUUGGCCGAAUGAUUGACGUUGUCAUGAAUGUUUGGUUAGUUUGAUGUAUGAUUGGUUGUAUGUAUAACAUGUUUUGAAUGAAAGUAAAGCUUAUACAUGAUAUAUUCGUACAAGUGAUUUGCUAUGAAAUGUUAGAAAGAUUGCUAUACAUGCAGAAAACAAAAGUUGUAAAUGUACAUGAAAUUGUGAUUUGUUAAAUUAUACCACCUUGAAGGUAAAUUGAAAGUUGGAUCGAUGAUCUUACUCACUGAAUGUAUUUGAUAAUUUGAGGGCAUGUUGAACAUACCAAUAAAUUGUGAAAGUAUUGAAUUAUGACUAUGUAUGAAAUUGUAUAACAUUGAUUAGAAUUAGGUUUUUUCAACCUAUAAAUAGAUGUAGUAGAAACUCCUCUUAUAUUAUUCGAAUUCGACAUUAGUGAAUUUUUUUCUCCUCUGCCCGUGGUUUUUCUCCGAAAGGAUUUCCAUAAAAAUCUGUGUUCUUUAUUUUUUUCAACAAUGUUUUUAUAUUGUCAUUAUCGAUGUUUAGUUUUUAACAUAUUCUAAUCAAUAUGAAUCGAUUUUAAUAGACAAAAAAACUAUCGAAACUAAACUUAAAUUACUUAGACUAAUCUAGAAUUGAAGCAAUACAUAUCAACCCAUAGUACCAAUAUAAUACAAGAGAGAAUCGUGAUAAGCUGGACAAUGCAUAUGUAAGCUUGACCAUGCAUAUAUAGUUUUCUAAGUAAAUUCCUAGAAUCCAUUAAAUAUAUACGCAAUACGCUCUGUCUCUUCCUUUCUCGGGAUCUCCAUGUACUGUGCUGACUUUUCCUUUUCCAUUCAGUUAUCUUAUACAACAUCAACGAAGGUUCUAUUUUAAAGAAUACCCUUCAUAAAAACUAAUAUUUUGGGUUGAUAGCUAUUCUUCCUUGAGUUCUCAUUUUUAUCAUUAUACUCAAUAUUUAUUAAUUUUUCCAUAAUGCAAUUUGCAUCAAGAAUUUGUUUAUUUUACCUCAAAGAGAUUAGACCCAACAUCUUAUCCGUACGGUGGGUAAAACAAGGACGACGCCAAGGGAACUGGUAGGGGUCAGGCCACCCUAAAACAAAAAAAAUCACUUUAAUCCUUUUAAGUUAAUAAAAUUAUUAGUAAAUGAUUAAGUUGUAUUCAAAAAUUAUAAAAUAUUCAAACAAAUAAAAAUUUUAAAUAUAUAAAUUCGAAAAAAAUAGCAUAAAAUACACUUGGAUUGUUAUUCAAGUUGUCAUACCUAAAAAUUUAAGGUUUUUAGUCAAUAUCUCCAUUCAAAAAAUUGUAAUAAUUUGACUUAAUUUGAAAGAAGGACUGAUUUAACUAAAAAAUAAUAAUGACCAAAUUGAUAAAAAAAUAAACAUUAAUGACUAACUUUGUUAUUAUCCAUAAAUAAUAAAUUAAUUUUAUCUUCAAUGGAAGUUUAAGGAUUAAGUUAAUGCUGAUCCAUAAAUAGCGGGUUCAACGCCAAUAGCUUAGCCUAUCAAACCAUUUACCUUAAUCUUGAGUAGUUGAACAAUGGGGAACGAAUAUUAAGAAGAUUUUAUAAGCACAUGAUUGAAAUCAAAGUACUUCAAACAAACAAUUUAUAUGGAUCCAUUUUCAUUGUUCAGCUCAACGACUUGCAGAAAAAUGUGGUUUGGAAACUUUGGGGUUGCAUUUAACGUAAUCAUCUUAGUUGAUGCAAAACCUCAGCAAAGAUGCAACUUUUUCUGCACCUUGUGCUAUAUUGGUUGGUAUGAGCUGAUUCCAUGAUGUUUAUAUUAUUUUAUGGAUAAGUUUUAAUUGAAUCAUUUGUAAAAAUUUAAUCUCUAAUUUUUUCAUUGAUAUGUAUGAUAUAUGUAACACCCCAAACUCGGCCUAGAAGUUUAAGCCAAAUCUAGACGAGCUACACUAACAUAGCAAAAUCGUACUUCUUGUUAGAGUUUUAACUUUGAAAAUCAAAAAUUCAUUUUAGUCAAUUUAGACGAUUUUGUAAUUUUGUUUUAGACUUGGCAGAUACUGACGAGAUUUGGAAACUUAGAACAUUUUGCAAUUGAUGGUUGGGAGGAGUUGGCAUCUCUAUCACGGUAUGGGUUUAGUUUAGUUGGACAUCGUUUCAUUUCCGUUUGGCGUUGUGCUCAACUGCAGUCUUUGGAAGCAGAGGAAGCCGAAUUGCAACCUGACAAGAUUUCACGUGUUGAAUCUUUGGAGAUAAUUUCUUGUGAUAGGCUCAAUAGACUGCCAAAAGUCUUACAUGAGCUCACAUUCCUUACAGUGAUGGAAAUUGAUAAUUGUCUAAGCUUGGUUUCUUUUGCAGAGAAUAACUUACCACCUAAUUUUAAAAAGCUGAGAAUUAGAAACUUUGAGAAUUUGGAGUAUUUGGUUGAUGAAAAAGAAGAUAAUAAGAGUAUGAGUAGUACCCUCUGUCUUCUUGAGGACUUGAAAAUAUCUGAGUGUCCAUCUCUAAUGUCUUUGUCAUCGAAGCGGCACAAAAAUAUUUGCAAUCAGCUUCAACUUCUCGAAAUUGACCAGUGCUCAAAGCUGAGUUGCCUAUUUUCAAACACCAAGUUUCCCAUAACGCUUAAACAAUUUGACAAUUGGGGGAUGUCCAAUGUUGGAAUACAUAGCCGAGGAGUUUGAGGAAAGCGCUUGUCUUGAAUCUAUUAAUAUUGGAGAUUCUGGAAUUAAAUCUCUACCACGAGGACUAGACAAGCUCAUCCAUCUCCAGGAGAUUCGUUUGAAUUCGUGUUCAAAUUUGGUUUCUUUUGAAGAAAGUGGGUUGCCCAGCACCAGCUUCAGAGCUUUUGUCGUUGAUGGUUGUCAAAAUUUUGGAGCCCUUCCUAAGUGCAUGGCCAGCAUCACCUCCCUUCGACAAUUAAGUGUGCGCGACUGUUCGGCUGACAUAUCAUUUCCAUCGGAGGGAUUCCCUGCCAAUCUCACAUCACUUGCAAUCUCAAACGCACCCAAGAUUUAUAGGUCACUUGUGGAAUGGGGAUUAAAUAGACUCACCUCUCUUCAAAAAUUGACCAUCGGAGGUGGAGGAUGCUCAAACGUGGUGUCGUUCCCAGAAGAAGGGAUUGGAAUGAUGCUGCCUCCUUCUCUCACCCGUAUUAGUCUUUUCCAAUUUGAGAACCUGGAAUUCAUGUUCUCCGAGGGCUUUCAAGACCUCGCCUCUCUUAAAGUAUUGGACAUCGAUAAUUGUCCCAAGCUAACAUCUCUUCCAAAAAAAGUCGUGCUUCACUCCCUUGGAUAUUUAUCUCUUUCCAGUUGUCCGUUGCUACAAGAAGAGUGCUCAAGUGAUAAAGGACGAGAGUGGUCUAAGAUUUCCCACAUACCCCUUGUUGAAAUUGAUAAUAAAGCAGUCAUCCCGAGGGAAUCAGAUUGAAAGAUGAGUCGUAAAAUCUGUGAUUGGUUUCUUCAGAGUGAUGGGAGAGGUACAAAAAACCAUUUCAAACAAGUCUAACUUUCUUUACGAACAAGAUAAGAGUAGGAAUCAGUAUCAAUUUAUUGAUUAAUAUUUGCAGGGAUUGAAAGAGAAGUUGGGGUGGAAGUGAGGUUUCAGAAAGAUCCAAGUUUCAGAAAGAUCCUUUGAAGGAAAAGUAAAAAAGAUGUCACUUCUCUUGUUAAAAAUUUCAAAGAUGUUAUUGGCACACAAUUCAGGUGGAAUUUGUCAUUUAGUGUUUCAGAGGUUUGUAAACUUGUUUCUUGUUAAAAAUUUCAAUGACAAAAGUAUAAAUGUUGAUGAGAUGUUAUUGGCAUAUAGUUUAAUGGGUGGUGUUUCAGUAGUUUCAGAUGUUUGUAAACUUGUUUCUUGGCUUUGGGGUUUAAUGUUGGAGUAGCAUUAGAUCAUCGGUUUUUCUAGAAUGUGAGCUUUGUCUAUUGUUUAUUUUAUUCUUCUACUUUACUUUUCUUAUAUACAAUUUCACGUUCAACUUCAAUCUUAUAACAUUUUUUUUAAUUUUCAAUAUAUCUUUAGUUAUCUUCUAUUUUGGAAAAUUUAGGCAAAAAUGCCAUAAAGAAAACUAAUAUUUCGAAAGAAUGCACAUUUUGUUACAAAAUAUUUUUUUUCUUUUUCUCUGUCCAAAAUAUAUCAAUUUCUCCAAAUUUAGGAAAUAUCGACUUGAUUCCCUAACUUUUUUUUUAUUUCAACAUUUUUAUCUAAAUUUCUCCUAUUUUUCUAUUUCACUUUCUUGUUUUUUUUUUCUCUUUCAAUUUUAUUUCUUUCUUUUCUUCCUAUUCUUUCCUCUCUUUCCCAACCUUAACUGUCUCUAGCAUGCACUACAGCCGCACUACGACAUUUGUUCCUCUGUCCAAAUAAUGGCAUUGGUCAACUCUUUUCCUCAUUCUCUUUCAUUUCCAAAUAAUGGCGUUGGGGUUCUCCUCCGUCAAUCACCUUGCUCUUUUGUCAUCAUGUUGUCACUAAUCAGAGAAGCCACCAAAUGGUCCACAUUUCCUUUCUCUCUCCUACUUCUUUUGUCAUCACUGCUUGUUACGAUGUUGUCACUAAUCUUGAAGGCAAAUCAAUUCAACAAAAAGUGUAUUAUCACAUUCAAUUUCGACCUUUCUGAAGUCUUUUCCUCGUAUUAUGAAAACACCUUCCAACAUGGUAGAGCGGAUUUUUUUGAAUAUUGAAUAUAGAGCAUAUAUGAUAAUUGAUUAUCUUGCUAAUUGGUUAUCUUGCUUCGUUUUUCUAUAUAAAUUUAUUAUUUUACUUUUAUAUAUGUAUGAUAAUUGGUCUCUUUCUAACAUUUCAAAGUUUAAUAUUCCAGCAGAUAAGACAAUGUUGAGGUUUGGAAACUCAGAACAUUUUGAAAUUGAUGGUUGGGAGGAGUUGGCAUCUCUAUCACGGUAUGGGUUUAGUUUAGUUGAACAUCGUUUCAUUUCCUUUUGGCGAUGUCCUCAACUACAGUCUUUGGAAGCCGAGGAAGCCGAAUUGCAACCUGACAAGAUUUCAUGUGUUAAAUCUCUGCGGAUAUAUGACUUUGAAAGGCUCAAUAGACUGCCACAAGUCUUACAUGAGCUCAUAUUGCUUACAGUGAUGGAAAUUGAUAAUUGUCGAAGCUUGGUUUCUUUUGCUGAGAAUAACUUACCUCCUAAUUUAAAAAAGUUCAGAAUUAGAAACUGUGAGAAUUUGGAGUAUUUGGUUGAUGAAAAAGAAGAUAAUAAGUGUUUACACCAUUUUUUGUAAAACGGAGUCGACUUUAAUUUUGAAAAUAAAAACGAAUAUGGGAGUCACCACCAAUCUUUUUUAAUGAGGUGUGAUCGGGUCACCUCGAAAAGUUAUUAUUUUAAUAAACAAUUUGAUUUAUUAAAACAAUAAUUUCGGUCUACGGAAUUUAAAAAAAUGGGUUCGGGAGUCGGUUAUGUACGAGGAAGGAUUAGCACCCUCGUAACGCCUAAAAUUGGUACGUAGUUGAUUAAUUACUGUCUUAAUGUCGAAGAUUAAAAAUUUUGAAGAGUUUUUUUAAAAAAUAUAAUCCUUUGCUAAAAUACCGACAAUUUUCGAGAAAAGGAGUAUAUUUCACGUUAAUCGAGAGAGAAAAUUACAUCUCGUAAGUUAAGACAUAAUGUCUUGAAUUCCUGAUACGAGAAUAAAUACCAAAAAAUUAUUUAACUAUCUCGAGUUUAGAAAAGUGAUCGUGUCUCGUAAGUUAGAACACGAUCUUUUGCUAUUUCUCGAGAUCGUUUAAAAACCUUUGUUUGAAAAGAUUCGUGUAUUUAGAUUUAUUGCGAAAAUUGUAACCCCUAAGUUAGGGUACGACCUUCUUGAAUCUAAACUCGAAAUUUUACUUAUUCAAAAGUCAUAAUUUAUGCAUUGAAUAAAAUUAAUCUUACUUGAAUUAGUAAAAAUACAACACAUUGUUAAUAUGCGUAACAAAACAAUAAUAGAUACGACAAUGUAAGCAUGAAUAAUGCGAGUAACAACAAAAUAAUAAGUAAACAAAAUAAAAAGGACAAAGUGAUUACAUAUAAAAUAACAAGUAAAUAAAUAAGUAGAACUAAAACAUUUUUUAAAGUAAUAGUGUAUAUGAAUAAAUAAAUAAACACCAGGUAACAAUGAUAACAAUAAAUAAAAUAAGUAAAACUAUGUAAAAAUGAAGAUAUAUGUAUUUAUAUAUAAUUUUAAGUUAUGAAAAAAAAGUAUAUAUAGUUUUAAGUUAUAAAAAAUAUAUAUAUAAAUAUAGAUAGUUUUUAUAAAGUAAAAAAAUGUGUAUAUAUAUAAAUUAUAGAAUAUACAUAUAUAUUAUAAAAAUAUAUGUAUGCAUGUACAUAUUUUAAAAUUAUAAAAUAUAAAAGACGUAUGUAUAUAUAUAUACAGAUUAUAAAACAUGUGUAUGUGUAUAUUUAUAUUAGAAAAAUGUAUGUAUAUAUAUAAAAUUUGGAAUUAGAGGUAUAAAUGAGUAAAUAAUAAUAACAACAAUAUUAAUGAUAUAAUAUAAUAGUAAUAAUAAUAUUAACAUGAUCAAUUUAAUAAUAAAAUAACCUAAAUACCAAAUAGAUGACUAAAUUGAAACCAAACAAAACCUUAGGGCCGAAAUAAAAAAAUCUAGAACAAAGAAAAGGACUAAAUAGUGACGCGCGCGAAAGGAAGGGGACCAAAAGGAAAUUUAUCCAGGCCUCGAAAUCGGACAGCUUCGAUCGGGACCAAAUUGAAGAAGCGAUAAAUUUUUGGGGUAAAAUUAAAAAACUAAAAAUACUUUAUGGUAAAACCAUUAAAAGUGGAAGGACCUAUUGCGCAAAUAGACCCUUCACCACAAAAACACUCAGAUCCUGAGGGUAAAUGGGUCGGGUCACGGGUCAGAGACCAAAACGACGACGUUUUGGUCUCUGAACUUAAAUUCCAAAACGGCGUCGUUUCCUGCUUCUUAUUUAAACACCUUUUUUUUUUAAUUUCCCCCCUCACACUAAAAAAAAUCUGUAGAAACCUCUCAAAGCCUACCCCAUGCCCUCCGACGGUUGGGCUUCUCAUCGCCGCUCAUCCGUUCGUCGCCCCGCCACUAAACCGACGACCGACGAAGCGCGAUAACUGGCUCUUAAAGCCCUAUUUCUGGGCGAGUUACAAGGUCGGGCCUUUGAGCCCUAUAAGGACAGAGACAAAGGCCCUCGAACCCCUAUUCAAGUCUGGUCCCCACGACGGAGAACCGCCCUCUGACGGCGCGGUCACUAGGCGUCCGGUGAGCUUUUUUUCCCUCUUUUUUAUUCUUUUUUGAUAGUUUUUUUCCUUAAAAAAUAGACUUAAAAAGAGAAAAAAUGAUGAAAAAUAAAAAUAAUCAAUCGAACAAAAAACGAAGAAUAGCAACCUUUGUUUUCUUUUUAUUCCUGGUGUCCGUGAAAAAAAUACCAAAAGAAAUACAAGAAACAGUUCGGGCUUUUAUAGCCGAAUACAGAAAUAUUUUUUUGUUCUCUUCUCUGUUGUUUUCUUCUGUUUUCUUGUCCUUUUCCAUGUUGUUUUCUUUUUUAAUUUGCGUGUUUUCUUCUCAUUGCAGGUGGAACAGGUACGGAUGGGACGUGACGAACAGCGGCCAGCAAGGGUCAGAAGACGCGGCGCUAGGGUUUCAAACUUUCUGAAACCCUAGUUUGACCAAUGGGUCAGAGGGUUUUGGGCCAAUUAGAUUAUUGGGCCUUUUGGGGCCAUUCGGGUUUUGGCAUGUAAUGGACUGUUAUUUUUUUAAUAUUUGGGCCUGGGAAGAAAUUGGGCUUGUACAAUAAGAGUAUAAGUAGUACCCUCUGUCUUCUUGAGGACUUGUCUAUUUAUAAGUGUCUGUAUCUAAUGUCUUUGUCAUCGAAGGGGCACAAAAAUAUUUGCAAGCAGCUUCAACUUCUCCAAAUUACCGAAUGCUCAAAGUUGAGUUGCCUAUUUUCAAACACCAAGUUUCCCAUAACUCGUGGAUUUACUUGGUUUACUUGGUUUGGAAAAGGAUAUCUCAUUGUUAAUAAACUUAUCUUCUAUUUUGGAAAAAUUAGGCAAAAAGAUCGAAAAAAAAAUUAGGGAGUUAGGUCGAAAAUUUUCAAGUUUAAGGAGAUAUGUUGAUUUUGAACAGAAAAAUAGAAAAUGCGUCUUGAGAAAAGCGCUUUUUGCAAAACUCAUUUUCUUUUGACAAAUUAGUAUUUUUUUACAAUAUAUUUAUUAAAGAGAAAUUGAACUCGAACACUCAAUAAUAAAACUACUAAUAUUUGACAAUUUGGCUAAAAAAAAAGCUAAUAUGUCAAAAGAAUAAAAUUACCGAUAGGACCAAUGGAUAGUGUGAUAUAUCUCUAACUAGCUUCCAACCCAAUGAGCUUUCUAUAAUUUGCAAGGUAAAUAAAAACAAAUAUGUAAGCAAUGAAUGCUUAGUAAGCUCGUGUAAUCUUUAAUCAUAUUAGUUCAUCUAAAAUUGAAAUCUAUACAUAUCAAGAAUAAUCCAAUAUUAAUACCAUAAUACUCAUGAAGCUAUAUUCAUCAGCUCACGAGGUGAAUAAAUCCACAGUAUCACCUAAAUAUAUAAUCCCAAGUUUAGUAGGAUUUUAUAUAACUUUAACUCUUUAUAAUUUCUUUAUUUUCAUUUGCAUUUCUUUACUUUCCACGCUUAUUCCAUAUGUGUGACACACAAGUCAUAAACAUAUCAUUCAACCAUAGUCACAAGCUAAUGCAUUUAAUCAAAGUCUUUUUCGAAUUGAUCACAUGAUAAAUCAUUUCAUAAGAAAUUGCAUAAUCUAAACCUUACCACUUUUUAGUGAGCGCUAGCAUAUUUUUAUUUAGAUACUUUCCAAUUCAAUGCAUUAUAUAAAUAAUCAUAAUACCAUUCAACCAAUAGCUUGGCACUUGCCUAAGCAUCAAGCAAGAAUACUGGUUAGUGUACUUGCACACAUUAUAUAUAAACUCAUCAUACAUAAUUUUCUUGUAUCAACAUAUUAAAGAUAAUCAUACAUUUACAUGUCAUGAUACAUAUCAUUCUCUUGUCAUUUCUUCAUAGACAUAUAUCAUUCAUUUCAUUAUUUCAAUAUUUCAUGUACCAUCAUUUUCAUGAAUUUCGUACAUCCCAGUAAUAGUUCAUUUCAAAUUCAUGUUAUCUCACUUCAUAACUUUACCCGUUAUAUCAUUUAAAUAUCAAUGGUUACAUUUAUUUCAGAUCAAUACCAAUAAUAAUCUAUAAAUCUUUUAAUUCAAUCACAUAAGUCUUUUAUCGUUUCUUUCUGAAUCGAAGAACGACUUAUUGAUUUGAGUACAUCGUUCUUUGGUGCCAUAUUCCAACUAUGGUCUUGCACAUAUAAACACUGCCAUAGUCCGACCAUGGUCUUACAUUCAUAGUGCCAUAACCCAGUUAUGGUUUUAUCCAUCAAUUCAUCAUUUGCCACAAAAUGAUUGUACUCAAUCCCGCGUUCAAUCCAAAUUGAGUAUUAAAUUCGAUAUUAUAUUUCCAAUAAUAAUUCAAUUCCAUGUUUUCUAUUACCCUUAUUAUUUUCCCAUAUUUAUCUCGUUAAAUUUCUUGGAUAUUUGAUGGAUUUUCAGAUGUACACUUUUAGUGUACAAUUUCGGGUCCGUCAAUUCAUAUUCAUGUGGGCACAUUUUCAUUUCAGAGAGCACACUCUCGCGAACCUUAUCCUUACAAUGGGAUUACGAGUCCAGGCUAAAUCCCCUAUAAUAUAAACUCAUAGAGUGUUUUCGGGAUUACCAGUCCAGGCUAAAUCCCCUACAAUGACAAUUACUCUAAUGAGCUUGGAUCUGAAUUACCAGUCCAGGCUAAAUUCAAACCCUAAUUUGGAUUACCCGUCCGGGCUAAAUCCAUUUUCCACAUAUUCUUCGAAAGGGCUAUAUCAGGAUAGGAACACCCGUCCGGGCUAGAUCCUUUUUACCGUCAAUUCCUUUUCAGAGAUCCAUCGAAUUUUCCUUCCAUUCAACCGGGAUUUCUUUCCUUUUUUAUCAAAUAUAUCAAUGUUUCAUCAAUUAUCAUACAAUGAACAUUCAAAUCAUAUUCACAUAAAUAACAUACAUUUCAAGCAUUUAAGAAUAUAAUUCAAGUUACGCGAACCUACCGAGCUAAAUUGUAAAAAUACCAAAAUUUAAGAACAUUUUGGUAAUUUUCCAUUUUCCUCGAAUUUGUACCCAAUCUUGAUCUAAAUUAAUAUUUCUUUCAAUUUAUUAAUUUAAAUAAUAAAAAAAUUCAUUUCAUGCAACUUAGUCACUUUUUGACAUUUUUUACAAAUUUACCUUUAAAAUAUUACUUUUAUUCAAUUUAGUCCCUGAACCUAAAACAUGCAAAAUAAUCAUUUUUAAUGAAAACUCAUGCUAGUUGAAUAAUCAUAUAUUUUCCUCCUCCUCCUCUCCAUUCCACAUCCUUGAUGUAUGUAACAUGCUUAUAUGUAAUAUUAUCUAUAAUUUCACCAUUUAUUUAUAUAUUCAUUCAAAUAUGUCCAAAACUGUUUUAGUGUAAAAUGUUGAUAACUAAAUUUAUAACACUUUCCUUUCCUUUCUCUUCAAUAUUUUCCAUCACUUUCUCUUUUUUCCCUUUACUAACAAAACAAGAAUAUAGGACCUUAUAUAAUGAAACUCUACAUUGACAUUAAUUUCCCACUUUUUCAAAAAUAUAUUGAAAUCUUAAUGUUUUUACCUUGUGCUAUUGAUUUCAAUCUUUAACUUAAUUUUCUCUCUCCUCCAGCUUCUAUUUCUUUAAUCUAACUUGAUAUUCUAGCUCCCCAUAGUCUCCUUGUUAUCUUUCUCUCUUGAUGGCUAUGGAAAUUCUUUUGAUUUCUAGGUGAAAAUGGUAAUUUUUUGGUGGAAGGACCAAAUUGUAAAGAAAGCAAAACUUUCUUUCUUUCCCUCUUUUUCUCACGUUGAAUGUAUAGGAAGAUGAUAACUUCUCUUCAUUUUUCCUCCCUUUUAUAUUAAUCAUUUAAUAAUAAAAUAAUACUAAAAAUCUUAAUAAAAUAUUAAUUAAAUAACAUUUAUCUAAUUACUUAAUUAAAAAUAUCACCAACAUCAUAAUUACCUUCUAGAAUUCUCUCUCUCUAAUUGACUAUUUUGUCAUUUAUAGUCUUUUAAAAUUCCAUCCUUGAGUCAUCACUUAAUUUGGUAAAAUUGUAGUUUAGUCCCUCAAAAUUCUUUACCUUUUCAAUUUGGUCCUAAUCCAUCCAUUUUCCUUAGUUUCUAGAUUAAUCCACCCUUAAAAUAUUUUCACUAUUGGUCCUUCAACUUUUUCAUAUUUACACUUUAACCCCUCAAAUUUUGAGUAUUUACUAUUGGGCAACAAAACAUUUCUCACUUUUACAAUUUAAUCCUUUCUUGAAUUAAUAUGCCAUAAUAUACUUCCCAAUGUUAACAUAACUCAAAAUUACCCUUUUUUAUCACUUUAUUUCCUUAUUUUACUAUAUUAGGAAUAUUAUCUUACUUUCUUACUGUAGUAAUUUUCGGGGUAUUACAUUCGAGUUCGAAUUGAGUUGAAUUUUACAAUUCGAAUAACUCUAAUAAUUUGAAUAAGAGAUUGAUGUACAUACCUUUUUGGUCUCUGUCAAAUUUAAAAAUAAGCAAAUUGGUCUUUCUCAACAAAAAUUACAAAAAAUUCAAAAUAAUUUUCAAAAAUUCAAAAUAAUUUUCAAAAAUUCAAAAAUAAAUUUUAAAACUCAAAAUAUUUAUAAAAAUUCUAAAAUUUAUAUUUUUCAAAAAAAUAAAAAAAUUUCAAAAAAGUUUUAAAAAAUUAUAAAGAAAGUUAAAAAUUUUAAAAAAAAUUAAAUAAUAAUUUAAAAUUUAAAAUAAUGUAUAUAACUAAAACAAUUAAUUUAUUGUUAAAUUAUGCAUUAAAACACAAUACUUGUAUGGUGUAAAUAAUUACAAUUAGAUAGUCAUAAUUACUGAAUUAAUUUGGGUAUAGUACCAAUAAAGGCUCAUUUCUGAAUUUUUUUUACGGAAAUGUGCAGUUUUUACAAAUAAUUACGAGUAUGGUUUGAAAAUCUAAAAAUGCACUCACAUUGACGUGCUUUUAGGGGAUAACUUAGAAAAAACGCUUCCACGUCAGCGCUUUUUUUCUUGUAUCAGGCAAAAGCACGCUGACGUAGACACGCUUUUGCCCGUGCUUGGACUAAAUUUUCAAAAAAACGAUCACUUUUUAAAAUAUUUCAAAAAUAGACUAAUUUUUUUUGAAAAUUUAAAAGAUUAAGCCUUUAUAAAAACUCAAAGUGACAAUACUAUUUCUUUUUUUUUUUGUGCCACCAAUUUGUAUGGGAGUAAAACUUACAAAAUAUAUAUUUACUAUAAACCCAAAGUCUCAUUUUCUACAUUGUAAAAUAUAAUUAGUUACAUAAAGAUCUGUUCUGUAAAUUUUAUUUUCAUAUUAAUUGGUGGUACAAGAAAAGAAGAAGAAAAAAAUAGUACUCCCACUUUGGAUUUUAUAAAUGUUUAUUCUCAUAAAAUUUUAAAAAAUUGAUAUAUUUUUAUAAUAUUUAUAAAAUAACAUUUUUUAAAAAUUUAGUAUACAACACGUGGACGUAAGAAAAAAAAAGUUGAUGUGGAAGCGCUUUAUUCCUUAUAUAUUUUUAUAUUUGAUACAAACGGAAAGCAAAAAACAUUACCAACCGGCUAACCAAUGGAGCUUUGCCACGUUUACAGAAAAAUAACAUAUUACAAUGACAUUAAAUGUAUGUCCUGCGGGUGUGCAGGAAAGAUAAAUGGUUGUGUAGGCAUUGUUUAUUGAUUGGUAGCUGAUAAGAAAAUAUAGUAGAGUAUGCUCCAAUAAUAGAGUCAUUUAAUUUCAGAAAUCCAAAAACUGUGACCUGUUUUCCACUUUCUUGUGUUUUCCAUCUCAUUUCUCUCUAUUCGUUGACUUCAGCUCCAUUCCCUGUUAACCCCAAUUAUACACAAUCCAUCUCAUUUAAUUUCGGAAACUGCUUGCUGAUACUCUUCCACCAUAGCCAUUGCUUCACAGUAAAUUGCCUGCAAAAAUUGACACGAAUUUUACAUUUUAUUUUCCUACGAUAUUCAAAAAAAAAAAAACCAGUAAAUGAAAAUUAAAUUAGAAUAUCACCAUUGCUUCUAAGUAGCGUAAUCUUUCUCUCGACAUUUCCUCUCUCGCCUGAAAAUCGAAAUCCAUCACAUUACUUGAAAAAGGAAGAGGGAAUGACACAAGAAAAAAAAUCAAAUUUUAAUAGAGAAUACGAGCUGGAGAUCGUAGUAGGCGGAUUUGGAGAUAAGAGAUCCAUCGGGAGAUAAGCAAUGGCGCUCUAGCUGAUCGAUUACUUGGAUGACGUCAGCCGGCAAGUUUUGCCCCUCCUUUCACCAUGAAUUCAGUCUUGUUUUGGCUUCGAAACGAUGUUAAUGUGUUUUGUUUGUUUACUGGGAAAAUGAAAAGGAAACUAAACGAGAAAAAGGCCGGCCUUCGGAUUUUUGAAAACUGGAAUUGAAAUGGAAGCAAAGGUUAUCGAAGGAGUGAAAAUACAAAAUCAACUCUCUAAUUUUUUUAUCGGAGAAAAAUAAAUCAAAACAUUUAUUUAUGAUUAAAAUCUUCUUUUACUCCUUGUAAUUUGACAAAAUUUUAUAUUUAGUCCCUAUACUUUACAAAUUUAAAAAAUUAGCUCCUCCUACAUUUUUUAUUUAAAAAUAACAGCCCAAUCAUUAAAAUCGCAUGUAUUUACCAAAGUCAAAUUGACAUCAUGUUUAGGUUGCCCUCAUGUAUUGUAACAUAUGUUUGACGGAAAAUAAACAUGUCAAGUUGACAAGUUUUAAUAUAAACUACCAAUAACGAUAAUGAUUGAAAUAAAAUUUUAUAAAUUAAAAAUGUAGGAGAAUUGAUUUUUUAACUUUUUAACUAUAUGGACUAAAUCUCAAAAUUUAUAAAAAUAUAGAGACUAAUAAUAUAUUUAACAUUUAUUUAUGUUUAAGUUAAUUAUUGUUCAUUUUCUUUUUACCUCAAAUAAAUUAUUUAUCUCAAAUUUUAUUUAAGUUUUUUUUUAAAUAUGUUAAGGAAAAAUAAGAUGGUAACUGCUAUAUAAAUUUAUCAUUUUAUUCUUAUAUAUGUAUAAUUAUUAAAAGAGUAAAAAUGUAAAAAUACAUUAUAGAAAAACACUUACAUUUUAUGUUUAGAAUUUAUUUUCAAUUAAAAUUAUGUUUAAAUAUUUGUUUGUCUUUAAAAAGAUUAGAAAUAAUUAAUAAAAAUCACAUUAAAGUGAGACCAGGAGAGACGAAGAUGAAUGUAUCUAACAUCAAUGGGAGUUGUAGUACUUUUUAAAAGGUAAAAUGACUUAUUUGGCCUUUCAACUUAUCAAAACAAAAGUAAUUUUAGUCCUUCAUUUAAUUUUUUUUACUUUUUUUAACCUUUAAACUUGUGCUUUGUUUGUCAAAUCACCUAAAAUAGAUGUAAAAAUUAAUAUAUAUUAAUUUUGUUGACGUGACAUACACGUAAAAUGUCACAUAAAUGUUAAAUCAAUAAUUAAUUAAUUUUUAAAAUUCAAAAAUAUAUAAUAAAUUAUUUUAAAAAAAUAAAAAUUAUUAAACUUAUUAAAAAAUAUUUUUUUAAUAAUUUUAAUUUUAAAAAUUGGAAUAAUUGUUAAUGGACACGCCAGAGGCAAAUCUAGGGGGCUUGCAAGGCCCUGACCCCCAUAAAAUGGAAAAAUACUAUUUAGGCUCUUUAAAAUUUUGUAAAAUUUAAAUUAAUAAAUGUAAAAUUGUACUUUGGUCGGCCUAAAAUUAUAAAAAUUUGAUUUAAUCUUUUAGAUAUUAUAAAGAUAUAGACUAUAAAAAAUUAAAAAUUUCAGUCGCCCCCUAAAAAUUAUUCUGGCUUCACCCCUAGGACAUACAUAUGGAUUGCGAUAUCAGUAAAGUUAACAAACAUUAACUUUUUCAUGCAUUUCGAAGUGAUUUGACAAACAAUAAAAAUUUAAAAAUUAAAAAAGAUGAAAAAGAUGAAAAAAAUGACUAAAAUGAAACUUUUAUAAAAUUGAAAGAUGAAACAAAUUAUUAUACCAUUUCUUUUGUAAAACAGAGCACAAAUAUCUCAAUUUUUACAAAAAAUUAGACAUAUUUAAAAUAUGAGUGAAGCUCAGACUUAAACAUUCAAGGCUCAAACUUAGCUCAAUUUGACUCACUUUUAAGUUUAUAAUACUUUAUAUUAUAUUAUUUAAAUUAUAACACAUAAAAAUAUAUUAAAUAUAUAAUACUACUCUAAUGUAAAUAUUAAAAUAAUGUUAAGAUGUCUAUGUAAAAAAAAUUAAUAAAUAAAAUUAUAUAAAAUUAUAAAUAUUAAAUUAAUAUAAUAUAAAUAUUUUUAAAAAAUUUAAAAAUUAAUAUGGACGGACUUAAAAUGGAUUUUAAUUAGUAUUUUGUAAAUACAGACAAGCUUGAAUAAAAUUUUAGGUCCAUAUUUUCUGAUUUUCAACUUUACUCAAAAGUUUAGAUAAAUUAUUAAAUUACCCCACUUGUAAUUUUUGUAAAAACAUUUAUGAUUCGAAGCGAAUCCACACUUGACAGACGUGAGCUUGAGGGCAGCGAAGAAGACUACUCGGUCAAAGCGUUCAUCCUAAAUGAAUUGAAAAAGUACUUUUGAUUAAUUGUUUAAUACUUUAGAUAUCACAACUAAGACCUUGUUUUGAAAAAAUUUUAAAACUCUAGUUUUUCCCUAAUUUUAUUUUCACCUGUGUUUUCUAAACUCGUUUUUUUUUCCAAAAAUGUACUCAUGAGUCUUCAAAAAAAAUAGUAUGUCUUCAACGGGUUUAUCAAACAUGAUUUCUUUUGAACCGUAAUGUUCAGGCCGGGUUUGGGGUAUUACAAAUCACUUAGUCCUCGAAUUUUCUUGGGUUCAAUCCUUAGAAUACUCGAGUGUUCCAUUAUAACACUAAAAAUAUUACAACUCGUGUAACAGUCCGAUUUUUGGUGAUGUCAGAGAUAGUGGUUCGGGCCACUAAAUUCAACGAGUAAGUUCGUAAAUAUUAUUAUUUAAUAUUUACAAGUUAAAUGUGUUUAUUAAAAAAAAGUACAUUCUCGGGACUCCGUUCCCGUAGAACAGACUCAUAAAUCUUUUUAAUAAAUAUUUACGGAGCUAGUUGUGUAGUUAAUUAGGUUUCGAUUAAGUAAAUUUGCUUGAAUUAAAAGUAAUUAGAUAAAAAGACUAAAUUGAAUUGAUUGUAAAAGUUUAAUUAUGAAAUAAAUAAAUAAAAGGGACUAAAUUAGCAAAUAAACAAAAAGUGACACUUGUGUGGUUAUAAUAAAAUACAUGUGUAAUAAAUAUAUACAUACGUUUGUAACAAUAUGUAUAAUUUACUUAUUAUUUAAGUAUAAGAUAUUUUAGAUUAAAAUAUUAUUAUAUUAUAUUAUUAUUAUAAACAAAAGAAAGAAAAGAAAUAAGAAAGAAACAGAAAGCUUAAAACGAAACAGUGAAGGAAAGAAGGAAAGAAAAGAAAAGAAAGAAAGAAAAGGGAAAAUUGUGGUUUUGAAGUUUGUCAAAUUAGUCUAUUUUCUUGUAAUUUUGAUAUUUUUGAAAUCCUAGAACAAAAUACUACUUGGUUUAAGUUGAAAAUUUGAAAGUUAGUAAAUUUUUAGAUGUUGUUCAUGUUGAAUUAAUUGAUGAAUUAGGGAUUAAAUUGAUUGAAUUUCAAGUUAGAAAUUAGUAAAGGGUUGAUUUGUAAAAUAAAACAUGAGUUAAUUGAACUAAAAUUGACAAGUGCAAAUGAGUUAAAUUAGCACCCUUUUUGUGUGAAGUGAGUGAAUCGCUUCUUAAACAAUAAUGCUAUCAUCAACUAUAUGUCUACCCGUGAGAAUGCUGUACUAGAAGGGGAAAAUGAGUUUUUAAAGGAAGGGAUGAAGGUGAUUGACCGUUAUUUUAGUAAUGAUCUUAUAAGUGAUUAAUUCGAGAUACGAGAAUUGCGGAGAAGACCGUUUAGUAUAAAGCCAUGAAAUAACUUAAUCCACGUAUUACAAAACACAUGUAACAACUUAGUUAAGGGUAUAUUUUUAUAAAUAUAAAAAAGAUUAAUUAAAAAAAAUUAAAUUUAUGUCUAAAUAUAUUAUUUUUAAACCAAUUUUUCCAACAUAAGAAAAUGCAACUAUGAUAAUCUUAUGGAUAUAUGUUAUUUUAUAGUUUCUUGUAAAUCAUUAUCUGAAUGCGUCCCCACUGAGUACAGCAAUAAUCAAAAACAAAAGUUGAUACUCAUAUGUGUGGUAUCUUUUACAUUCAGACUAUGAAAAAUCGAAUCCUUUUUGGCUAAUUGAAUCCUAAUCAUGGUUGAAACCAAGAAUCUAUUGGAUUUAUAUUCCAAUAUGCUUCGUUUUAAUGUGCAUACCAGAGGCGAAUCUAGGUGUGCUUGUAGGCCUUACCCCAUUAAAAUAAAAAAUUAUUAUUUAGGUUCUUUAAAAUUUUUUAAAUUUUAAAUUAAUAAAGAUAAAAUUUUACUUUGGCCGUCUUAAAAUUAUAAAAAUUUAAUUUAAUCCUUUAGAAAUUAUAAAGAUAUAAACUAUAAAAAAUUAAAAUUUCAUUCGCCCCCUAAAAAAUAUUUACGAAGCUAGUUGUGUAGUUAAUUAGGUUUCGAUUAAGUAAAUUUGCUUGAAUUAAAAGUAAUUAGAUAAAAAGACUAAAUUGAAUUGAUUGUGAACGUUUAAUUAUGAAAUAAAUAAAUAAAAGGGACUAAAUUAGCAAAUAAACAAAAAAAUGUGACACUUGUGUGGUUAUAAUAAAAUACAUGUGUAAUAAAUAUAUACAUACAUUUGUAAUAAUAUGUAUAAUUUACUUAUUAUUUAAGUAUAAGAUAUUUUAGAUUAAAAUAUUAUUAUAUUAUAUUAUUAUUAUAAACAAAAGAAAGAAAAGAAAUAAGAAAGAAACAGAAAGCUUAAAACGAAACAGUGAAGGAAAGAAGGAAAGAAAGAAAAGGGAAAAUUGUGGUUUUGAAGUUCCGUCAAAUUAGGGUGGGUUUGGAUGGGCGAUUGGGUGCGAUGCGGUGCAUUUAGCUUACUUUUUGUCUCACGCUACAGUAUCACUACAGUAUCUAAUCUCACCGCCACCGCUAUUUUUACACUAACCGCAGAUAAACGCACCGCCCAUCCAAACUCAAGGUUAGUCCAUAUUCUUGUAAUUUUGAUAUUUUUGAAAUCCUAAAAUAAAAUACUACUUGGUUUAAGUUGAAAUUUUGAAAGUUAGUAAAUUUUUAGAUGUUGUUCAUGUUGAAUUAAUUGAUGAAUUAGGGAUUAAAUUGAUUGAAUUUUAAGUUAGAAGUUAGUAAAGGGUUGAUUUGUAAAAUAAAACAUGAGUUGAUUAAACUAAAAUUUACAAGUGCAAAUGUGUUAAAUUAGCACCCUUUUUGUGUGAAGUGAGUGAAUCGCUUCUUAAACAAUAAUGCCAUCAUCAACUAUAUGUCUACCCGUGAGAAAGCUAUACUGGAAGGGGAAAAUGAGUUUUUAAAGGAAGGGAUGAAGGUGAUUGACCGUUAUUUUAGUAAUGAUCUUAUAGGUGAUUAAUUCGAGAUACAAGAAUAGCGGAGAAGACCGUUUAGUAUAAAGCCAUGAAAUAACUUAAAUCCAUGUAUUACAAAACACAUAUAAUAACUUAGUUAAGGUUUUAUUUUUAUAAAUAUAAAAAAUUAAAUUUAUGUGUAAAUAUAUUAUUUUUAGACCAAUUUUUCCAACAAGUUAAAUGAAUCAUUUCCAAUUGAAACCGAGAAUGAAACACCCCAAUAAGAAAAUGCAACUAUGAUAAUCUUAUGGAUAUAUGUUAUUUUAUAGUUUCUUGUAAAUUAAAAUUUCAUUUGCCCCUAAAAAAUUAUUCUGGCUUCACCCCUGAGACAAACAUGAAUUGGCACAUCAGUAAAGUUAACAAACAUUAACAUUUUCAUCUAUUUUAAAGUGAUUUGACAAACAAUAAAAAUUUAAAGAUGAAAAAAUGAAAAAAAAUGACUAAAAUGGAAUUUUUAUAAAAUUGAAAGAUGAAACAAAUUAUUAUACCAUUUAUUUUGUAAAACAGUGAUGACAACCCCUCUCAAUUGCCAUCCUUGGUGUUAGCAACCCCAAAAUGGUAGGUAAUGUUGAUAUAAAUAUACAAUUAUUAAUUGUUCCAAGUGCAGAAAACCACAAUAAUAACUUUAUGAGAAACAAAAUUAAGAAAAUAAAUGAAAAUGUUUGAGCAAAAAUAUCUCAAUUUUUACAAAAAACUAAACAUGUUUAAAAUAUGAGUGAAGCUCAGACUUAAACAUUCAAGUCUCAAACUUAGUUCAAUUCGACUCAUUUUUAAGUUUAUAAUACUUUAUAUUAUAUUAUGUAAAUUAUAAUACAUAAAAAAUAUAUUAAAUAUAUAAUACUACUCUAAUGUAAACAUUAAAAUAAUGUUAAGAUGUCUAUGUAAAAAAAAUUAAUAAAUAAAAUUAUAUAAAAUUAUAAAUAUUAAAUUAAUAUAAUAUAAAUAUUUUUAAAAAAAUUAAAAAUUAAUAUGGACGGACUUAAAAUGAGUUUUAGUUAGUAUUUUGUAAAUACAGACAAGCUUGAAUAAAAUUUUAAGUCCAUAUUUUUUUAUUUUCAACUUUACUCAAAAGUUUAGAUAAAUUAUUAAAUUACCCCACUUGUAAUUUUUGUAAAAAAGUUUCUGAUUCGAAGCGAGCCCACACUCGGCAGACGUGAGCUUGAGGGCAGCGAAGAAGACUACUCGAUCAAAGCAUUCAUCCUAAAUGAAUUGAAAAUGUAUAAUUUUGAUUAAUUGUUUAAUACUUUAGAUAUCACAACCAAGAUCUUAUUUUGAAAAAAAAUUAAAACUCUGGUUUUUCCCUAAUUUUAUUUCUCCUAUGUUUUCUAAACUCGUUUUUUCCAACAACGUACUCAUGAGUCUUCAAAAAAAAAUAGUACGUCUUCAACGGGUUAAUCAAACAUGAUUUCGUUUGAGUUUAAGAGGUUUGCCAAAAUGAAGUAAUAUUGUUUUCAUAUACAGUGUAACCUCCACAAUCUAACCUUAACGUUUAGGCUAGGUUUGGGGCAUUACAAAUCACUUAGUCCUCAAUCUUUUUUGGGUUCAAUCCUUAGAGUACUCGAGUGUUCCAUUAUAACACUAAAAAUAUUACAACUCGACUUGUCACACUUGCAGUACACUGCUAGAUUAUUGAUUGGUUUGCGUUGAUUAUUAUCCCCAAUGUGCACUGUCAAGUUGUUGGCGCUGUUGUCAGGGAGUUUAUGUGUGAUUGAGUGAUUUGCUUGAUUAAUGCUUGUUUACUAGGGAGAUAACUAGCAAAACUUAAUUCUAUAGAUAUGACACUUGUUUUUCUUUCAAUUGCUCAUUUAUUUUCUUAGUUAAGUAUUCUUGAAAUUGAAAACUUAUAGAAUAAUCUUGACAUCACCCUUUCACAAUGGAGAGCUAUUUUUGGACUAAUCUUUCUUCUCAUUUAUUCUGGCUUCACGGUGUUAUUGAAUCUCAUACCUACUCUCUGCCGAUCUUGAAAUGUACACAUCCAUCGUCACCUUCUACAACUGCUUCAUCGAAAAGAAUGUACACCAAAAUCAUUAUGUUAUUCAUCUUCAAAACAAUUUUUGUUUUUUCUUCUACUAAACACAAAUAUUUCACAAAUAUUUAAGUUGAACAGUUACAACAAUGUUAAAAAAAUAGUAUAUUUAAGGAUUGGUGCUACCAAAAAGCUUGGUGGCAACAAAAAAAUUUUAAUGGAAAAGAAAAUAGCCUUGUGCCGCCAACGAGGAAAAUGACACAAAAAAUUAAACUUUCUAACAAAAAAUGUAAUGGCCCAAAUUCAAGGUUAUCGGAAUAGUGGUUUCGUAACCACAAAUCCGAUUUAAAGAGAAAUUUAUUUUAAUAUUUUUCCAUGAAUAUUGGAAUGAUAGGAAAAUAGUAUAAAAAUAUCGAUAGAAAAAUUUUAUCGAUUUAGUGAUUAGUUAGAAAAAGAAAUUAGUGAAGAAAUUGGGUAAAAAUAAGGUAUAGAGACCUCAAUCUCGUAAAACCGAGUCAAAAAUAUUUUUAUAAAUAUUUAUGAACUGUUAAUAAUAUGGUAUUAAAAUUUCGUUCGAAAAUUUUGAUGUUUGGGUAGUCAAUUAAGUGAAAAGGACUAAUUUGAAAAAGGUAUAAAAGUUACUAAAAGGAUUAAAUAGCUCAAUUGUUAAAUGAGGAGGGACAUAAAUUGAAAAUAACCCCAAAAGGAUUCAGGAGAAUUGAAGAAUUAAGGGUAAAAUUGGAAUAUUGCAAAAUUUGCUUUAAAAGAUAGGACUAAAAUGGAAUUAUCUAGAUUUCUCUUCAUUUUUCUGCAUUCCCAUCAGCCAAAAACGUCCUAAGGGUUUCUCCAAGCUGGUUUUUCAUAAUUUUUGCACCAAGUGAGUUAAUCCUUGCCCUUUUCUUGUAAUUUUUGUGUUUCUAAGACUUUUACAACUAGGUCCUAUUACUAAAUUCAUUAGUUUUCGAUUUUGUGGAUGAAGUUGAAAGUUGCUAUGAAUAUGUGCUGGAAUUUUAUGAUGAUAUAGGAUGAAAUUGAAGCUUUAAUCUAUUUAUGAGAUGAUUUUAUUAGGUACUUUCAAUAGAAAUUGAUUUGUAGGACCUAAUUGUGAAAAAGUUUGGAAUUAAAGUCUAGUACUGAAAUUCUGAUUUCCAAAGCUUAUGAAGUAGUUUAAAGUGAUGGGAUAAAGUGUUAAUUGAGAAAAAUCAGCUCAAUUGAUAGGUUAAUUGAGCAGGGAUGAAAUUAGCAUUUAUUGAAAGUUUAGGGAAAAAUGGUAAUUAACAUUAUACACUAAAACAGAUUUGGACAGCAGCAGUAGGUUAACUUUGAAAAAUCACCAAAAAUUGUAGAAAUCGAAUUAGAGGAUGAAUAAAAUAUGAAAUUAAAUCUUAUUGAGUCUAAUUUCUCAUAGAAGAAACGGUUUAAUCAAUGGAAUUGUAAAUCAUGAGAUAUAAUGGAUUUUGUGAGACAAAGUCAGAAGGAAUUCUGGUUCCCCUGUUCUGACUUUGGAAAAUCAUUAAAAAUUGUAGAAAAAUGAUUAUGAGUUGUAAUUUAUAUGUUUAGAAUCCUUAAUGAGUUUAUUUUCAUAAGCAAUAAACGGAAACAUCAUCCAAAUUCUGUAGAAUGAGAUAAUUAAUUUUUAGUGAAGAGGGGUCGGAACUGUCAAACAAUGAAACAGGGGAAUUUUAAAGAAUAAACUGUACUUGUUGGCCAAACCAAAAAUUCUGAAAAUUUUAUGGUAAUAAGAUAUGUGAGUCUAGUUUCAGGUAAAAUUAACGGAUCUUAAUUUUGAGUUCCGUAGCUCAAGAUAUAAAUAUUUUAGUGACUGUGACUCAGUGAGACAGCUUUGAAUGCAUUAUAAAUUAUAAUGGAAUUAUAGAGAAUGUUACAUAUGAACAUGAAAUGUAUUAUAUUAAUGAUUAAAUUUAUUUAUUUAGAUCCAGAAAGUUCAAAUACGAAGCUAGAUCGAGGUAAAGAAAAAGUUCGGGAUUAGUAGAUUUUUGUUUACAAACAAGUGUCGAGGUAAGUUCUUGUAACUUGAAUUAUAUUCAUAAAUGCUUGAAAUGUUUGUUAUUGAUGUGAAUAUGAUUUGGAUGUUUAUUGUAUUAUAAUUGAUGAAGUAUUGAUAUUCUUGAUGAAAAGAGGAAAUAAAUCCCGGUUGAAUGGAAGGAAAAUUCGAUGGAUCUCUGAAAAUGAAUUGACGGUAAAAAGGAUCUAGCUCGGACGGGUGAUCCUCUCCUGAUAUAGCCCUCCCGAAGAAUAUGUGGAAAAUGGAUUUAGCCCGGACGGGUAAUCCGAAUUAGGGUCUGAAUUUAGCCUGGACUGGUAAUUCAGAUCCAAGCUCAUUAGAGUAAUUGUCGUUGUAGGGGAUUUAGCCUGGACUAGUAAUCCCGCUGUAAGGAUGAGGUUCGCGGGAGUGUGCUCUCUGAAAUGGAAAUGUGCGCACAUGAAUAUGAAUUGACGGACCCGGAUUUGUACACUAAAGUGUACCUCUGAAAAUCCAUCGAAAUUCCAAGUAGUUCAACGGGAUAAAUAUGGAAAAUAACAAGGGAAUGGAAAUCAUGGAAUUGAUGAGCUCAUCAAUCAUGGUAUAAAUUAUUGAUACAUGGAAAUUAUUGGACUAAUUUGAAUGUUGAGUUUGUGCAUGAUAGGGGAAUAAUGUAUUGAAUGAAUGUAUGAAUGUUUAUUGUAUUGUAUUGAAAAUAUUAGGUAAGUAUAAUUCUUGUUACAUGAGCUUACUAAGCACAAAGUGCUUACCCUGUUUCCUUUUCCCCUGUUUUGUAGUGUUAAGAGCUCGGAGGUCGGAUUUGGUCGGAGACGCAUCACACUAUUAACCUCAAGAUCUCGGUAUAUAAAGAAACUUUAUUUUAGAAAUCAAUGGCAUGUAUAAGCUAGUAAAGUAGAUGUUAAUGUGAAAUGAAUGUAUAGUUAGCCAUUAGUAUGGCUAACAAACUUUGGUUUUGGAUAUGUGAUGAUAUUAUCUUAUGAAUAUUAUAAAUCUAUCUUGAAAAUAUAUAUUGAAAUGGAUUAGUUGUGUCGAAUUAGCCUCGGUUUAAAAUUUACAGGUAAGAUUUGAUAUUUAUAAAGGGGUUAUAUGAAAAAAAAAUUUCAGUAAAAUUUGGUAAUACCUCGUAUCCUAUUCCGGCGAUGGAAACAGGUAGGGGGUAUUACAUUUGUUGGUAUCAGAGCUACGGUUUAGCCGGUUCUCGGACCGACGUAUCAAAAAUGGGGUUAGCUAUACAUGCCAUUUAAAUUAUUGUUGAUAGUGUGAUAUCUCUUGACCAUUUGAAAUGUGAUUUUCUUAUAGUAAAUGUCUGCCGACCGAGCUCAAACUGAGGAAGCCGAGAGUCAUGCUCCAGCUUCAGAACAAAGAGAAGCUGAAGCUACUAGUAGUAGAAAGUCCGAGACAAGGGACCAAAAUGAAGAAGCUAAAAUGGCCUUCUAUCAAAUGAUGAAUGAAUGGUUUACUCAGUAUAUAAGAACUAACCCUGUAGUGAAGCAAACUCAAGCUCCCCCUCCUCCUCCUCCAUCGGUUUCCGAGAUUCUGCAGGGUACAGGUGCCGAAUCUAUCAGAAAAGGGACAGCUCCGGUUGAUAAAAUUAGAUAAUAUGGGGUAGAGGAAUUCAGAGCUACAAUUAAUGAUGAUCCCGAACGAGCUGAGUUUUGGUUAGAGAAUACUAUUCGGGUUUUGGAGGAACUAUCUUGCAUACUAGAAGAGUGUCUGAAAUGUGCAGUAUCAUUGCUAAAAGAUACAGCUUACCACUGGUGGAAUACUAAAGUUUCAGUUGUUCCGAAAGAAGAAAUUACGUGGGAAUUCUUUCAGACCGAGUUCAGAAAGAAAUAUAUUAGUCAGAGGUUCCUUAAUCAGAAGAGAAAAUAAUUUCUUGAGCUAAAACAGGGUAAUAGAUCAGUAUCUGAGUAUGAAAGAGAGUUUGUCCUAUUGAGUAAAUAUGCUCGAGAAUGGGUACAAUCAGAGGCUGAAAUGUGCAAAUGGUUCGAAGAAGGGUUGAAUGAAGAAAUUAAGCUACUGAUCGGAAUUCUUGAAAUUCGAGAGUUUGCUACAUUGGCAGAGCGAACUUAUAAAGCAGAAGAAUUGAGCAAAGAAAAGAAACAAGCUGAAAGAGAAGCUCGGGUUUUCAGUAAAAGAUCGAUGGAAAAAUCUCAAUUUUUUGCUUCAAAAAAAUUGAAGAAAUACCAGGACCGUUCUACCUCAGCCACUGGGUAUUCGGGUAGAGAGCGAGGUUUUCAGCGUACUAAUCCAAGACCUUCUACCCCAUCAGUGACCAGUGUUGGCAGUGUUGGUACCCCUAAGCCAAGAUGCCAGUACUGUAAUAAAACUCAUUUUGGUGAAUGCCGAUUAAAGAGCGGGGCUUGUUACCGAUGUGGUUCUUUCGAUCAUUUCCUCAGACAUUGUCCAGAAAGGGGUGAAAAUAAGCUGAAUAGACAGCAAAGCUGAGUAAUCCAGUUUUGAGGGGUAGACCACAUCGAUCAUCUGGUGAUGUCGGUGGUAGCCGAAGAGCUACGAGAGAUACUGUAGGCAGGCCUGAGGUACGAGCACCUACUAGGACAUAUGCCAUCCGUGCUAGAGAAGAUGCUUCAGCACCUGAUGUUAUUACUGGUACAUUUUCUUUACUUGAUACUGAUAUUACUGCAUUGAUUGAUCCUGGUUCUACACAUUCAUACAUAUGCACAAAAUUAGUAUUUGUUAAAAAUUUAUCUGUUGAACCUACUGAAUUUGUGGUUAAAGUCUCGAACCCCCUGGGCCAGUUUGUGAUGGUGGAUAAAGUGUGUAAAAAUUAUCCACUGAUGGUAAGAGGUUAUUGUUUCUCGGUUGACUUGAUGUUACUUCCUUUUGAUGAGUUCGAUGUGAUAUUGGGUAUGGAUUGACUAACUCAGCAUGAUGCAGUAGUAAAUUGUAGACAGAAAUAUAUUGUGUUGAAGUGUCAGAAUGGAGAAUUACUUCGGGUUAAAUCUGAUCAGACAGAGGAAUUAUCUAAUGUGAUUUCAGUGCUGACAGCUCAGAGGUGUAUUAGAAAAGGGUAUGAUGCUUAUUUGGCAUAUGUGUUAGACACUACGGUAUCUGAAUCAAAGAUCCAGGCAGUGCCAGUUGUAUGUGAAUUUUCUGAUGUGUUUCCAGAGGAAUUACCGUGGUUGCCGCCAAAAAGAGAAGUGGAAUUUUCUAUAGAUCUGAUUCCGGGAACUACUCCGAUCUCCAUAGCUCCAUAUCGUAUGGCUCCUACGAAAUUAAAUGAGUUAAAGACACAAUUGCAAGAACUUGUUGACAGGGGUUUUGUUCGACCGAGUCAUUCACCUUGGGGUGCUCCGAUUCUAUUUGUGAAGAAGAAGGACGGAUCCUUAAGAUUAUGUAUUGAUUCCCGACAGCUCAACAAAGUCACUAUAAAGAAUAAGUACCCAUUGCCUCGAAUUGACGAUCUGUUUGACCAGUUGAAGGGUGCCACUGUAUUUUCAAAGAUUGAUCUCCGAUCGGGCUACUAUUAGUUACGGGUAAAGGAGUCAGAUGUACCAAAAACAGCUUUCAGAACCAGGUACGGGCAUUAUGAGUUUCUUGUUAUGCCGUUUGGGCUGACUAAUGCACCUGCAGUAUUUAUGGACUUGAUGAAUCGGAUAUUCAGCCCGUACUUAGACAGGUUUGUGGUAGUUUUUAUUGAUGAUAUAUUGGUCUAUUCCCGAGAUGAAAAUGAAUAUGCGGAACAUUUGAGAAUUGUGUUGCAAAUUUUGCGAGAGAAGCAACUAUAUGCUAAAUUCAGUAAAUGUGAAUUUUGGCUGCGAGAAGUGGGUUUUCUCGGACAUAUUGUAUCCGCAGAAGGCAUCAGAGUAGAUCCGAGUAAAAUCUCAGCUAUUGUCAAUUGGAGUCCACCGAAGAAUGUAUCUGAAGUUAGAAGUUUCUUGGGUUUAGCUGGUUAUUAUCGAAGAUUUGUACAGGGGUUUUCUAUGAUAGCUUUUCCGAUGCCCCGCUUAUUACAGAAAGAUGUUAAAUUCGAGUGGGCUGAUGAAUGCCAACAGAGUUUUGAUCGAUUAAAAGAGUUGUUGAAAAAAGCACCUGUGUUGGUACAGCCUGAACCGGGUAAAGAAUUUAUUAUUUAUAGUGAUGCAUCAUUAAAUGGUUUAGGUUGUGUCUUGAUGCAAGAAGGUAAAGUUGUAGCUUAUGCUUCGAGACAACUUAAGCCACAUGAAAUAAAUUACCCGGUGCAUGAUCUUGAAUUAGCUGCUAUUGUAUUUGCAUUAAAAAUAUGGCGGCAUUAUUUGUAUGGUGAAAAAUGUCAUAUUUAUACUGAUCAUAAAAGCCUGAAAUAUUUGAUGACACAGAAAGAUUUGAACUUGAGACAGCGUGGGUGGCUUGAACUGAUAAAAGACUAUGAUUUGGUUAUUGAUUACCAUCCGGGUAAGGCUAAUGUUGUAGCUGAUGCUCUGAGUCGAAAAUCUCUGUUUGCUUUACGAGCUAUGAAUGUCCAGUUGUCUUUGGUUGAUGAUGGUUCAGUCGUAGCUGAGUUGAGAGUUAAACCGACAUUUUUACAACAAAUAUAUGAAGCUCAGAAAAAUGAUGAAUAGCUACAGGCUAAAUGGGUACAAUGUGAGUCAGGUAAUGAUUCAGAAUUUCAGAUUGGAACUGAUGGUUGUUUAUUAUUCAGAGGCAGAGUAUGUGUACCGAAGAAUUCAGAGCUUAUACAGAAGAUUUUACAUGAGGCAUACAGUGGUAUUAUGUCCGUACAUCCGGGAGGUAAUAAAAUGUAUAAUAAUUUGAAGAAGAUGUACUGGUGGCCAGGUAUGAAACGUGAUAUUUCUAAGUUUGUAUCAAGAUGUCUAAUAUGUCAACAGGUCAAAGCUGAACACCAGGUACCUUCGGGAUUGCUCCAGCCAAUUACCAUACCGGAAUGGAAAUGGGAAAGAAUUACUAUGGAUUUUGUGUCAGGAUUACCAUUGUCACCGAAAAAGAAAGAUGCCAUUUGGGUGAUCGUUGAUCGAUUAACAAAAUCAGCACAUUUUAUCCCGGUACGUAUGGGUUAUUCUCUAGAUAAAUUGGCUGAACUGUAUAUAUCUGAGAUUGUCAGGCUGCAUGGAGUGCCAAUCUCUAUUAUCUCUGAUAGAGAUCCCCGAUUUACAUCUCGUUUCUGGGACAAAUUGCAAGAAGCCUUGGGUACUCAGUUGAUCGAUUAACAAAAUCAGCACAUUUUAUCCCGGUACGUAUGGGUUAUUCUCUAGAUAAAUUGGCUGAACUGUAUAUAUCUGAGAUUGUCAGGCUGCAUGGAGUGCAAUCUCUAUUAUCUCUGAUAGAGAUCCCCGAUUUACAUCUCGUUUCUGGGAUAAAUUGCAAGAAGCCUUGGGUACUCAGUUGUAUUUCAGCACUGCAUUUCAUCCUCAGACAGAUGGCCAAUCUGAGCGUGUAAUUCAGGUACUGGAAGAUAUGCUCCGAUGUUGUAUAUUAGAGUUUGAAGGUAAUUGGGAGAAGUAUCUACCUUUGAUUGAAUUUGCUUACAAUAACAGCUAUCAGUCCAGUAUUAAAAUGGCUCAGUAUGAAGCUUUGUAUGGUAGAAAAUGUAGAACACCAUUAUAUUGGACAGAGCUCAGUGAAAAGAAGAUACAUGGGGUUGAUUUGGUCCGGGAAACAGAAGAAAAAGUUAAGGUGAUUCGAGAUAGUCUAAAAGCAACUUCCGAUCGUCAGAAGUCAUAUGCUGAUCUUAAACGAAAAGAGAUUGAAUUCCAGGUGGGUGAUAAGGUAUUCUUAAAAGUGUCUCCUUGGAAGAAAGUUCUCCGAUUCGAUCGAAAGGGCAAAUUGAGUCCAAGAUUUAUCGCGCCAUAUGAAAUCAUAGAAAGAAUUGGACCGGUUGCUUAUCGAUUGGCAUUACCACCGGAACUCGAUAGAAUACAUAAUAUUUUUCAUGUGUCUAUGCUACGACGAUAUCGAUCAGAUCCUUCCCAUGUUAUUUGUCCAACAGAACUGGAGAUUCAGCUAGAUAUGACUUACAGUGAAGAACCAAUCAAGAUAUUGGCACGAGAAACAACAGAGCUUAGAAAUAAAAAGAUAAAUUUGGUGAAAGUAUUAUGGCAAAAGCACGGGGUUGAGGAAGCGACAUGGGAACCGGAGGAGGAAAUGAGGAAACAAUACCCGAACCUCUUUACUGGUAAGAUUUUCGAGGAUGAAAAAUCUUUAAGGGGGGAGAGUAGUAAUGGCCCAAAUUCAAGGUUAUCGGAAUAGUGAUUUCGUAACCACAAAUCCGAUUUAAAGAGAAAUUUAUUUUAAUAUUUUUGCAUGGAUAUUGGAAUGAUAGGAAAUAGUAUAAAAAUAUCGAUAGAAAAAUUUUACCGAUUUAGUGAUUAGUUAGAAAAAGAAAUUAGUGAAGAAAUUGGGUAAAAAUAAGGUAUCGAGACCUCAAUCUCGUAAAACUGAGUCAAAAAUAUUUUUAUAAAUAUUUAUAAAGUGUUAAUAAUAUGGUAUUAAAAUUUUGUUCGAAAAUUUUGAUGUUUGGGUAGUCAAUUAAGUGAAAAGGACUAAUUUGAAAAAGAUAUAAAAGUUACUAAAAGGAUUAAAUAGCUCAAUUGUUAAAUGAGGAGGGACAUAAAUUGAAAAUAACCCCAAAAGGAGAUAUUUUGGGCGGCAUACGCUGAGAAAAAUCAGGAGAAUUGAAGAAUUAAGGGUAAAAUUGGAAUAUUGCAAAAUUUGCUUUAAAAGAUAGGACUAAAGUGGAAUUAUCUAGAUUUCUCUUCAUUUUUCUGCAUUCCCAUCAGCCAAAAACGUCCUAAGGGUUUCUCCAAGCUGGUUUUUCAUAAUUUUUGCAGCAAGUGAGUUAAUCUUUACCUUUUUCUUGUAAUUUUUGUGUUUCUAAGACUUUUACAACUAGGUCCUAUUACUAAAUUCAUUAGUUUUUGAUUUUGUGGAUGAAGUUGAAAGUUGCUAUGAAUAUGUGCUGGAAUUUUAUGAUGAUAUAGGAUGAAAUUGAAGCUUUAAUAUAUUUAUGAGAUGAUUUUAUUAGGUACUUUCAAUAGAAAUUGAUUUGUAGGACCUAAUUGUGAAAAAGUUUGGAAUUAAAGUCUAGUACUGAAAUUCUGAUUUCCAAAGCUUAUGAAGUAGUUUAAAGUGAUGGGAUAAAGUUUUAAUUGAGAAAACUCAGCUCAAUUGAUAGGUUAAUUGAGCAGGGAUGAAAUUAGCAUUUAUUGAAAGUUUAGGGAAAAAUGGUAAUUAACAUUAUACACUAAAACAGAUUUGGACAGCAGCAGUAGGUUAACUUUGAAAAAUCACCAAAAAUUGUAGAAAUCGAAUUAGAGGAUAAAUAAAAUAUGAAAUUAAAUCUUAUUGAGUCUAAUUUCUCAUAGAAGAAACGGUUUAAUCAAUGGAAUUGUAAAUCACGAGAUAUAAUGGAUUUUGUGAGACAAGGUCAGAAGGAAUUCGGGUUCCCCUGUUCUGACUUUGUAAAAUCAUUAAAAAUGGUAUAAAAAUGAUUAUGAGUUGUAAUUUAUAUGGCUAGAAUCCUUAAUGAGUCUAUUUUCAUAAGAAAUAAACAGGAACAUCAUCCAAAUUCUGUAGAAUGAGAUAAUUAAUUUUUAGUGAAGAGGGGUCGGAACUAUCAAACAAUGAAACAAGGGAAACUUUAAAGAAUAAACUGUACUUGUUGGAUAAACUAAAAAUUCUGAAAAUUUUAUGGUAAGAAUAUAUGUGAGUCUAGUUUUAGGUAAAAUUAACGGAUCUUAAUUUGGAGUUCCGUAGCUCAAGAUAUAAAUAUUUUAGUGACUGUGACUCAGUGAGACAGCUUUGAAUGCAUUAUAAAAUGGAAUUAUAGAGAAUGUUACAUAUGAACAUGAAAUGUAUUAGAUUAUGAUUAAAUUUAUUUAUUUAGAUCCAGAAAUUUCAAAUACGAAGCUAGAUCAAGGUAAAGAAAAAGUUCGGGAUUAGUAGAUUUUUGUUUACAAACAAGUGUCGAGGUAAGUUCUUGUAACUUGAAUUAUAUUCAUAAAUGCUUGAAAUGUUUGUUAUUGAUGUGAAUAUGAUUUGGAUGUUUAUUGUAUUAUAAUUGAUGAAGUAUUGAUAUUCUUGAUGAAAAGAGGAAAUAAAUCCCGGUUGAAUGGAAGGAAAAUUCGAUGGAUCUCUGAAAAUAAAUUGACGGUAAAAAGGAUCUAGCCCGGACGGGUGAUCCUCUCCUGAUAUAGCCCUCCCGAAGAAUAUGUGGAAAAUGGAUUUAGCCCGGACGGGUAAUCCGAAUUAGGGUCUGAAUUUAGCCUGGACUGGUAAUUCAGAUCCAAGCUCAUUAGAGUAAUUGUUGUUGCAGGGGAUUUAGCCUGGACUGGUAAUCCCGACAAUACUCUAUGAGUUUAUAUUACAGGAGAUUUAGCCUGGACUGGUAAUCCCGCUGUAAGGAUGAGGUUCGCGGGAGUGUGCUCUCUGAAAUGGAAAUGUGCGCACAUGAAUAUGAAUUGACGGACCCGGAUUUGUACACUAAAGUGUACCUCUGAAAAUCCAUCGAAAUUUCAAGUAGUUCAACGGGAUAAAUAUGGAAAAUAACAAGGGAAUGGAAAUCAUGUAAUUGAUGAGCUCAUCAAUCAUGGUAUAAAUUAUUGAUACAUGGAAAUUAUUGGUCUAAUUUGAAUGUUGAGUUUGUGCAUGAUAGGGGAAUAAUGUAUUGAAUGAAUGUAUGAAUGUUUAUUGUAUUGUAUUGAAAAUAUUAGGUAAGUAUAAUUCUUGUUACAUGAGCUUACUAAGCACAAAGUGCUUACCCUGUUUCCUUUUCCCCUGUUUUGUAGUGUUAAGAGCUCGGAGGUCGGAUUUGGUUGGAGACGCAUCAAACUAUCAACCUCAAGAUCUCGGUAUAUAAAGAAACUUUAUUUUGGAAAUCAAUGACAUGUAUAAGCUAGUAAAGUAGAUGUUAAUGUGAAAUGAAUGUAUAGUUAGCCAUUAGUAUGGCUAACAAACUUUGGUUUUGGAUAUGUGAUGAUAUUAUCUUAUGAAUAUUAUAAAUCUAUCUUGAAAAUAUAUAUUGAAAUGGAUUAGUUGUGUCGAAUUAGUCUCGGUUUAAAAUUUACAGGUAAGAUUUGAUAUUUAUAAAGGAGUUAUAUGAAAAAAAAAUUUCAGUAAAAUUUGGUAAUGCCUCGUAUCCUAUUCCGGCGACGGAAACGGGUAGAUGGUAUUACAAAAAAAUACACCGGUGUCGCCAAUGGCAAUGGCAACACAAAAAAAAAUUCUAUUUUUCUUAAACAUUAUUUUUUUCUAAUGGCUAUUGCCAAGGAGAACGACAUCACAAAAAAAAAAACUUUUGUACUAGUACCGCCAAUGAUAACGACGACACCCAUUAAAUUAAUUUUUUCCUUUUUUUCAUUUUCUCCUAGAAUACCAGUAUUUUUAUGGGGUGGACGAUUAUACAUACUGGUGUCGCUAAUGGCACGACGACACUCAAAAAUUAAUUUGGUAAAAAUUAAGGAUUACAUAUGAUUAAUGGUACUAUUUUGUUAUCAAGCAUCAUGAGGGUGUUGAUAUAUUACUUACGUGGAACAUUACAAUCGAAUUCAAAUUUUGUUUUGUAGACUAAAAAUUAUCUUUUCAAUAAAUUUUCAUUUAAUUUAAAAUUUUAUUAAAAUAAUAUGUUUUUACUUUUGGGGUGGCCAAUCACACCUAAAUAAAAAAUAUCGGUACCAACUCUAUAUAUUUAAUAUUAAAUUAAAUUUUACUGUUUAAAUAAAUAGAUGUGAACAAAACUCGAUUUGAUUCGAAAAAAAUCAAUUUUUUUUAAAAUUUUAGUUAAUCAAAUUGAGUUAUUUGAAUUAUUCGAGUCAAAUCAAAUAAAUAAUUUGAGUUUCGAGUUCGGAUUGAGUUGAAUUUUACAAUUCGAAUAACUCUAAUAAUUUGAAUAACAGAUUGAUGUAUAUACCCUUUUGGUCCCUGUCAAGUUUGAAAAUAAGCAAAUUGGUCUCUCUCAACACAAAUUACAAAAAAUUCAAAAUAAUUUUCAAAAAUUCAAAAUAACUUUCAAAUAUUCCAAAAUAAUUUUUAAAACUCAAAAUAUUUAUAAAAUUCUAAAAUUUAUAUUUUUCAAAAAAUUAUAAAAAUUUCAAAAAAUUUCUAAAAAAUUUAUAAAGAAAGUUAAUAAUUUAAAAUAAUAAUUUAAAAUUUAAAAUAAUGUAUAUAACUAAAACAAUUAACUUAUUGUUCAAUUAUGCAUUAAGACACAAUACUUGUAUGGCGUAAAUAAUUACAAUUAGAUAGUCAUAAUUAUUGAAUUAAUUUGUGCAUAGUACCAAUAAAAGCUCAUUUCUAAAUUUUUUUUACGGAAAUGAGCAGCUUCUAAAAAUAAUUACGAGUAUGGACUGAAAAUCUAAAAAAGCACUGAUAUGGGUGCGUUUUGAGGAAUAACUCAAAAAAAUGCUUCCACAUUAGUGCUUUUUUCCUUGUAUCAGGCAAAAGCACGUUGAUGUAGACGCGCUUUUGCCCGUGCUCGGACUAAAUUUUUUUAAAAAAUGUCAUUUUUUUAAAAUAUUUAAAAAAUAGACUAAUUUUUUUAAAAAAAAUUAAUAUAAUAAGCCUUUAUAAAAACAUAAAGCGGUAGCACCAUUUCUUUUUUUUUCUUGUGCCACAAAUUAAUAUGGAAAUAAAACUUACAAAACAGAUAUUUAUAUAAACCCAAAAUCUCAUUUUUCACAUUGUAAAAUAUAAUUAGUUAUAUAAAGAUCUAUUCUGUAAAUUUAUUUUUAUAUUAAUUGGUGGCACAAAAAAGAAAAAAAAGAAUGGUGCUGCCACUUUGGAUCUUUAUAAAGGCUUAUUCUCGUAUUUUUUUAAAAAAAUUGAUCUAUUUUUAUAAUAUUUUUAAAAAAUAAUAUUUUUUGAAAAUUUAGUCUGAACACGAAUAAAAAUGUGUCCACGACACAAAAAAAAAUUUAGUCUGAACACGAACAAAAUUGAUCUAUUCCUUAUAUAUUUAUAUAUUUGAUACAAAUAUAAUCCUAAUAACUACCCAAAUGCUGUAAAUUACUAAACUGUAAAUGUAUAAAAAUAUGAAAUAUUUUAAACAUGUGUAUCAUAGAAUUCAAUUAAGAUAUUGUAUGAAAGUAUGAUUUCUUCUAUUCUCUUGUAAGAAUUGAAGGCUUUUUGAUUGGGUGAGUUCAAAGAAGUAUUGUUUAGUCUGCCUUAUUUUCCUUUCUUCAUUUUUUUCCUUAUAUCAAAAAACAUAUUAAUAACUCAAUCAAAAUUAUCUCCAAGAACAAAAUUUUGUUAUGCUUAAUAUCUUUAAUUUGAUCUGUAUCUGUUUUAAUUCUGCCCUUUUUUCGAGUAGUUUCUAGAUUAUGGCAUAUUUGGUGAAAAUUAAUUAUAUUUAUAAAAAAAAAUUGACUCUCAAAUUUAUACGAAAAAGAAGUUAAGAAAUGAAAUGGCUAAAGUACCAUCCAUUAUCCAAGCAAAGCAAAUAACGGACAAUUUAUCAAAAAAAGCCUUUUUUUAUAUUUACCGAAAUAGGCCCGAUAUUUUAUUAUUUACCAGAAUGUGCCUUUUCCGGCAAAUUGCGUCCACGUCAGCGCGAUGUUAGGGGACGUACCAGGAAAUCGCGGCCACGUCAGCGUGCUUUGCUGAUGUGGCAACAAAUAGCGUCCACGAGGGGGCGAUUUGUUGCCACGUUAGCAAAGCGCGCUGACGUAGCCGCGAUUUCCCCUAAUAUCCCCACCUCUUUUUUUUUUCACAAACUAAUCAUCGCUCAAAUUUCCUCUCAAUUUCCUCUAAAUUUUCUCUCAAUUUUGGUGUUGAGAGGAAGCAUUGCAAAUAAUUAAAUAAGAUAUUUCAAAAGAAGGUGGAAAGGAAGACUAAAACAUUUUGGCGAUAAAGUUAAAAAAAUAAAUUGAGAGAAAUUUAAAAAAAAAUUAGAGUCAAAAUUUUGAAGGGUCAAAAAGUUCUUUCACAAUUAUUCAUAGUGAUUUAAAAAUAAGAAUUACAAAAUUAACAAUUAAUAAAAAUAAUGAAAUAAAUUUUAAUUAUAAUGACAUUAAUGAUUAAAAACGGAUAAUAUUAAUUAUAAAUUUUAAUUAUAAUGGAGCUUUGCCACGUUUACGGAAAAAAUAAGAUAUUAAUUAGUGAAGAUGAGUACAUGUGAACAAUGACAUUAAAUGUAUGUCCUGUGGGUGUGCAGGAAAGAUGAAUGGUAGUGUCGGCAUUGUUUAUUGAUUGGUAGCUGAUAAGAAAAUAAUAGUGAAGAUGAGUACAUGUGAACAAUGACAUUAAAUGUAUGUCCUGUGGGUGUGCAGGAAAGAUGAAUGGUAGUGUCGGCAUUGUUUAUUGAUUGGUAGCUGAUAAGAAAAUAAUAGUGAAGAUGAGUACAUGUGAACAAUGACAUUAAAUGUAUGUCCUGUGGGUGUGCAGGAAAGAUGAAUGGUAGUGUCGGCAUUGUUUAUUGAUUGGUAGCUGAUAAGAAAAUAAUAGUGAAGAUGAGUACAUGUGAACAAUGACAUUAAAUGUAUGUCCUGUGGGUGUGCAGGAAAGAUGAAUGGUAGUGUCGGCAUUGUUUAUUCAUUGGUAGCUGAAAAGAAAAUAAUAGUGAAGAUGAGUACAUGUGAACAAUGACAUUAAAUGUAUGUCCUGUGGGUGUGCAGGAAAGAUGAAUGGUAGUGUCGGCAUUGUUUAUUCAUUGGUAGCUGAAAAGAAAAUAUAGUUGAGCUGCGGCUUCUGUUUUCAAUGCUUAUGCUCCAACAAUAGACUCAUUUAAUUUCAUAAUUCCAAAAACUGUGACCUGUUUUUCCCUUUCCUUGUGUUUUCCAUCUCAUUUGCAACUAUUCAUUGACUUCAACUCCCUUGACAAUCCAUCUCCAUUCCUUUCCCUCAAUCUCCCCUUCCUUCUUCAUCUCUCUCUUUGAUUUCUUUGUCCCAAUUCCACCAUGUCUGUCUUUGGAGAGGCUGCUGUUUCUGCCUUUUUGGAGCUGUUGUCUGCCAAGUUGCUUGACUCUGCACUCAGCUUUGUGGCCGAUUACCAGCAAGUCCGCGAGCAACUCAUGCUGUGGCAAUCCUUAUUAGCCGAUAUCAAAGCAGUGUUGAACCAUGCAGAGGAGGAGCAGAUCCACGACGAGGGUGUGAAGAAUUGGUUGGACGAUCUCCAAGACUUGGCUUACGAUGUGGAUGACAUCUUGGACGAGGCCGCUUACCAAAAGUUACGUCUCAAGCUCCAAAAAACUCAAGCACAAGCCAGCUCUAGUCAGGGAGGGAAACUCAUUAUAGCCUUAGAAUCUGGUUUUCGUUUCUGUCAAUUCUCUUUUAUGUUCAAUUCAAAGAUACAAGCAAUCACUGAUAGACUGAAUAGUUUGAAGACUCGAAGAAGUAGUUUGGGGUUGAGUGAGAUCAUGUCUCAAGGCGCAACUUCCAUGGGAAACCAACCCAGGCUGCAACCAACUUCGUUGAUGGAUGGAGCUGUGGAGUAUGUUGGUAGAGCCAAUGAGAAGCAAGAAAUGCUUGAGUUGCUCAAAAGUAACAAUUCCGAUGGAGUUCGUGUCCUUUCCAUCGUUGGCAUGGGAGGGAUGGGGAAAACAACUCUUGCUCAGCUUGUUUACAAUGAUCCCAGCAUUAAGGAGUCUUUCGAUCACAAGUCCUGGGUAUGCGUUUCUACUGACUUUGAUGCUGUUAACAUAACAAAGACGAUUUUAAGAUCCCUCGAUGCUGACUCACAUGAUGAGAAUGACUUGAACUCGCUUCAAGUCAAGUUGAAGUACAAGUUAUCCUUAAAAAGGAUGUUGCUUGUUUUAGAUGACAUUUGGAACGAGAGUUACAGUGAUUGGACCAUCUUACGGACUCCAUUUGGAGCAGGAACCAAGAUUAUUGUAACAACUCGACUCCAAACGGUUUCAUCUAAUGUCGAUUCGGUGAAAGCGUUUUACUUGGAUAAACUCUCGCAUCAUGAUUGUUUAUCCAUAUUUGCUCAGCAUGCAUUGAAAGCAAGAAACUUUGAUGGGCAUCCCCAAUUUAAAGAAAUUGGAGAGAACAUAGUGAGAAGGUGCAACGGCUUACCUUUGGCAGCAAAAGCCAUUGGAAGCUUAUUACGCACAGUUACGGAUCACAGUGAAUGGGAAAAGGUAUAUCGGAGUGAGAUAUGGGACCUACCAGAAGAUCGAUGUGACUUAAUUCCAGCUUUGCGAUUAAGCUACCAUUAUCUUCCUCCUCAUUUGAAACGAUGCUUUGCAUACUGCUCCAUAUUUCCUAAAGAUUAUGAAUUUGAAGAAGAAGAGAUAAUCUUGUUAUGGAGAGCAGAAGGUUUCUUGCAAUCAAAAGAUAAAAAUCAAGGCAAAGGUCUUGGAAACCAAUAUUUUCAAGGUCUAGUGUCAAGGUCAUUUUUUCAAAGAUCUAGUGAAGACAAAUCCCGUUUCGUGAUGCAUGAUCUUAUGAAUGAUUUAGCUCAAUCAGUUGCAGGAGAAAUAUGUU
RNAcentral lists this long non-coding RNA (66721 nucleotides) under Gossypium barbadense (sea-island cotton). Its description in RNAcentral is "long non-coding RNA (GBAR_LNC016755)". The stretch from base 63878 to 63964 matches the Rfam family "MIR7486 microRNA precursor family". The record is from RNAcentral. Lineage: Eukaryota; Viridiplantae; Streptophyta; Magnoliopsida; Malvales; Malvaceae.